CCACCACGCUGAAGAUGGCCUCUAUCGCCGCUUGCAUCCUGCUGGUCCUGCUGUCCAAUGGCCACCCUACCGCGGCGGCCGUUGAUUGUAUUGCGGCUUGCAAAGAACCGUGCCAGGGUUUUUCUAACGGGCUCUGCGCGGGUGGAGCCACCAGCGGUUGUACGACUACGGCAGCAGCUACAGCAUGCCGCAAUUUGGCGUUCUCGCAGUGUGCGAACACCUGCUUCACAGUUUGCACUGCUGUGAGCAUCGCGCCUUGCACUUGAAGAUGCAUUCGUGUUCCUACUUCCACAUUAUUGUUACUGCAGAAUAAUAUGGGUCAGUGCACACAAGCAUACAUGAUGAGCCACUGUCGUUUUUCCAUUUUGUCAUUUAUUUAUUGAAGGCAAUGUACGUUUUUCCAUUUGAUCAUUUACUUAUUGAAGGCAAUGUACGUGUCUAUCUCCUGUGUGGUUGAGCAUGUCAUCUUGGAAUUCUGUCCAAAGUUUUACAUACCACCUUGUAUUGUUGUGUGUGGGUAUCAAUAUAAUUUAUGAACUAUCUUCCUUUACCAUAGACAUAUCUAUGUUUAUUUGCAAGCGUUAGCUAAAUUUUUCCUUGAUUGUGUAUUAACCCAUACUGAACAGAUCAACUUUCCACUGCAAGAAACUAUUUAAUCUGUGACGAAACAAAAUUGUCACGUAUCACUAAAAAAUCGUCAUAAAGCAAUGCCUGUGAUGAUUUCAGAUAACGUCAUGUAUUGAGCAUCACAGAUUAAAUCGAUGACAUGGAGAGGCUUCACCAUAGUAUUUUGUAUCGACGUUAGACCUAUCGUUUAUUUCCGCUGCUUUUGAACUCUGAACACUACUUUUAUGCAUGUGAACUAUCGGCUUGUAAUAACUUAAUGUGGGACCUGUAAUAAUUUAUCUGGAUUGUUGUAAUCUUUGGACUCGUCUUCGUGCGAGUAUACUUUGUUUCGAUCCGAAACACGUGGUUGCAUCGGGUGAAACCCGACAGACUACCAGUUUAAUUCGAUUAAAGUGUCUAUUCACAUUUAAGGCAAUGUUGAAUAUACUUUAGCCGGGUUAACUUGGAUGGUUCUACCACACUGGCGCAUCCCUGAGGAUUCCUAUCUGCUUGCUCGAUGUCAUCUGUAUCUGGCCCUGUGAUAAGGGUGAAGAGUUCAUUGUCUAGAGACAGGCUUCCAGAACUUUGGGUGAUGACUUAUGUAGAGUCAUGAAGCGUGAUUCGUUGUCCUGGGCGAGGGCAGGUAGCCUCAUGCCAGGCCAGUAGAUGAAUCUGCCUUGAGGGGUUGAGGUGAUCACCAGGCCCUGCUGCGAACCUGUUAGUGGAGUCUCCUCGUCGGAAUCCAAGUAGUGAUCGUAGUUGUGGUCCUUAAUCGGACAUGAGUUAGAUUGCAACCCGGAUAAGGCUGCUUGAUAGGUGGAAGCUGCGUUACGGAGUCCGAAUGGGAGUUUGCUCGGAAUUUGACUUGAUUCGGACGAUGCAGAACCCGAUGGGAUAACCUACUGGGGUAUUACGUCAAUAGAUCAACCAAAAGAAUGCGCAAUAAUAUCUACCACCAAAGGCAACCCAAAAGCAUUAUCUACCUUCAGUGCCAGAUCAGUCAUCAACAAAGAUCUAUGGAGACCUUGUUUUCUCUUGCUUUGGAUUUGGAGAUAGCAUAGAACAAAAGCCUUGAACCUAAAUAAACAAAGAAAAAAAGUACUGCAGUGCUAAAAAUAAGAAAUACCUCGUAGAAAAAUACCAGUAAUGGGUUUAUGGGUUCCCACUCAUCCUUGGGUAGCCACUUCUCUAGAGAGAUUCUUGUGUGUUCCGGUGUUGUAGUUUUCUGCGCAUGAUACAUAGCAACAUAAGGGCUAUUCCCCAACCUCAUAAUCGAUAGUAAUGUACAUCUUCUGGAAAGGACCUCUUUCUGUUGCAAGUGUGACUGCCACGCUCAUGCCAUUAAAGAAGUUAGCAGUUCGGUUAGGCAAUUAGUUGCCCACAGGAGGAAAGUAAAGCAACCGUGGAGAGUGAAGAGGCGUCUUUCUAGCUCCAGCACCAAGCACACCACACCAGUCAUCAGCUAAUCUGAUGACAUGGCAGGAAAUUUAAGAGGGGAGAGAAGGAAUUAGUUUCAUCUAGAUGAAAUUCUUCUCGCACAAAACCAACUCUGAAUGUGUCAUGAAAUUAAAUGUACCCCAUGCCGCUUUUUAUGCGCUCUUAUUAAUGUUGCUUUGUCUAAGUUCAAUACACUUAUCAAGACUAUCGCAUUUGGUGACUGGCAGUCCACCUAAGGGUACCAAGAUGGUUGAUUUGUAAACAGAGAGGAUCACAAGACCAUGAACUACUUGAUGGUAAUGCAAGGCACAAGACAUAGAGAUUUAUACAUGUUCGAGCCGUUAGUGUAGCGUAAUACCCUACGUCCUGUUUUGGGGGAUUGUAUUGCGCUCUGCACUUGGGUGUUGGUUGUUAAGUUGAGGGAUUGGCCGUCCUCCUAGGGGUACCCCUACGUACCCUUAUAUACUCCCCUAAUAACUCUUCUUAAUAGGAUAGAUUACCAAGUAGAAUUAAUUAUGCAUGCACGCUUGCAGUAAUUGUCGCACCUAUUAGCCUUCCUUAUUUAGCGAGACUUCCUCGGGCAUCGAUGGUGUGCCGUUUCUAUAGUGAACGGUAAUGAAUGUGGACACUUUUAUGAGUGCUGACAUGAAAGGUUCAAUUUGUAUGAAUGAUCUUCUAUAGGUACACUAACCGCGCUUAGGUUACGUUAACAAAAGGUUAGAGAAUUGACUAGUUAUUAUAGGAAGAGCCGUAAACUGUUGCCUCGCCACCAGCACUAACCCCGUAAGUCCAAGUAAUUGGCAGUUUUUUCAUUUGUGAGGACGCAUAGGUCAUGCAUGCAUCAUGUUAAAAACUUGCAAAUUGGAAAUUGGAACAACUUUCCUAUAGAUGAUUGGGAGGACUAAUGUCACUCUCAAAAAAAAUUUUGCCAAAUCACCUAAGGAUUUUCUAGUUGUCUCGAACUGCAGCUAACUACUGUCAGAAUUUUUUUUCUCCGAGCUCUUAAAUGGUCUUGGUUCCAGAAUUUAGUAAAUGAUAUGCUGUAAAAAUUUCAUAAAUUUUGGUCAAGUGAAACUCGAGUUAUGCUUCAAUAAAUUCCCGGGUUGACUCGUACCCAAAGGAGGAAGUUGCAGAGGUUAAGGCUGCAGGAGAAGAGGGAACAGAAGCUGGAGAAGCGAAGGAAUGAGGCAUUCAACACGAAUAGACCCAUAGUCCCUCAGAAGAAGGAGUGGAGAGUUAAGGCCGAUACUCCCAACUCCACCAGUCAGACCUGCAGAAGGACCGGUCGGACCUAGUGCGGUCGGCACGGUCAGGGCGGUCACUGGCGCAGUCGUCGUGGUUGAUGACUCGGUCGGCGCGGUCGUCGGCGCAGUCAGACCGGUCGAGGGGUCGGCGAGGAGCGGCAGCGGGGUGACAAAGUAACUGCGAGCGCGGCGGGGCGGAGCUUGAGCGGCGGAGGCGGAUGGGAGGGGUGGAGGUGGCGGUGGAUGUGGAGGGGAGGUAGCGGAGGGGGAGGAGGAGGAGGAGGCAGAGGAGGCCGGCGGUGGGCGGAGGAGGUGGAGGAGGGUGAGGAGGAGGAGGAGGCGGAGGGAGGUCAGGGCUGGCGGGGGAAUUUUCUUUUUUUAAGAACGUUUAGCCUUAUUAUCACCUAGCGGAGGCGGAUGGAGUUCCACAACAUGGUGUAUCGGACGGGCAUUUCAUUGAAGUCCCUAGGGGCGUCCAAUGGGUGGCUGUAGUGGGUGUACAUCACGACGAGCGUCUGUAGCCAUUGCGACAGCCUAGAGCACGACAACGAGGCGGAAGACCCCGUCACGGGUGCAGAUGGCCAGCGUUUUUUUAAAAAAAAACUUACAGGUGGCCAGUGUGGUGGGCGUGAUUGGGCUUAUCACCAGUGGCGGAGGAGGCGGACGCACGAAGCGACAGGAAUGGCGCCGAGUUUGGUCGAACCAUCUGGAAACUAGAGUUGUAACGCUUGCACUGGACGGCUGAGAUUUACGAUGCUCGAUAUCUGACAGGCGAAAAAGGGAGAGACUUGGCCCAAUCAUUGCAGAGAAACUUCACCGGAGUUAGGUCUUUAAAGAAGAUUGUAAGGCCUGAUUGGUUUGGGGAUCAAAAUGUAUCAAACCAAAAUCAGGGUAAGCCUAAUAAUUUUGGCAGCUGUGUAUAUUUAGAUGCAUAUAAACAUUUAUAAACCUAAAAAAUUAAAACGACCUGCAAUUAAAAAUGGAGGGGUAAAAAAGAAGGCCCCGACAAACGCGUCAGCACAUUCCUGCCUUUCUCCCCCGAAUGAGUAAACUCCAAUCCAAAAUUUGACUGUAUUUUGUUAACGGUUAUAUAUCAUAAGUUUCAUAACAAUAACCAGCUAGGGCUAAUGAUGAUAUGAAUUUGGCCACAAUUUUUGUUCUUGGGAGGUAUCUGUGAGGUGAGAAAAUGGGCAACAUGUGUGGAAAAUGCUAAUACGCCUACUGUGUGGCAUAUUUUGCGUUGUAUCAUAUACUUUCCGGAACAGUUGUAAUUACCACAUCUUUUUUCCCCAGCGGAGUCGCCAAAAUGUGUUGGCGCCUUUUCCGACCAACACAUGAGUGCGCUAGCUCGCGUGUAGAUUGGAAUUCUCCUCGUUGAAGCUCCUGCACCUGGCCGGUCAGAUCGGUCAGGGGGUCCGAUCGGGCCGGUCCUCGUAGGGGCACCAUGAAAACCUACGUCCACCACCUCGGGAGGGACCCUUUCGGAGAUGGCGAACCUAGGGUUGCUCUGAGAUCGGCAGGCCAAUUUAAACGUUCUCAAACGCCGCCGGGACAAAAGAUGAAAGCAAGUGGGUUGGAAAAGCUAAGGUUUUGAGAUAAAAGGGUAAAAAGAUAUGUUUGACGAUUAGGUGAUGCCCCUCAAUCCAACUUACCAAUAUUGAUACAAGAUAUGCUCAACUUGUGAACUUAACUGAGGUAUAUGCUUCCUAUGUUCGUCCGUUCCAGUAAUUGUCUAAGGCAACGCGAAAUCCAGUUACUGUGGGCUAAUAACAACCUAUCUGUUGGUGUUUCUUGGUGUCUAUGGGUGUGCUUCUGAUUUGCAUGCUUUUUUUGUUUGUUGUGUGAUGAAAUAAGGCACUAUGUACAUCUUUGCUUAUUAUUUCCCACUGAUAUAUGGGUACGGACGUGUAAUCAUUAAUUGUGCUAUUCAUUCAGCUGACGACAGUCAGUUGACAUCACUUGAAAGUAUGCUUGAAUUCGUAAGGUGUCCCGUGCAAGUAGCGUGGCUACAACCGCAGCAAUAUUUUUUUCUGAUCAAAAUCGAUCGUCCUUUUUUGUUGAAAACAUAAGUAUGAUAUACUUCACGUGAUGUUAGACUUGAAAAUUUUUGAGUGCAAUAUAUGAGUAAGUAUUCAAUACUAACAUUUUUUCUCUAAACAUUAACUACCAACAUAGCUUAUCAGAUAAUGCAGCAUUGUUUAUCCGACAUGCAUAACCUCCUAACACUCAGACACUGAGACACACCAUCCAUUACCGUCACUGAAUCUAUGUCAGCGUGCUGAGCCAGGGUUAGGAACCUCCACUAACUCGUUAGAGGCAAACCCAAGAUCUAGACUGCUUCUGCUUAAUUCCAUCACUAGCUUAAUCCACUAUGAAAUGUAAAUGCACAACACUCUUAGCAAUUCGCUCAUAAGAUUCUUGAAUUUGGCAAAUUUUUGGUGCAAUCUUCACUGCGAGAAAAACGACCUUUUGUCCAACAUAUUAGUACCGGCCACAUUUCAACCCGUACUAAUACCAACAUUAGUAUCGGAUCCAAUUUAGUAGCCACCGGAGACCUUUUAGUACCAGGUCAUAACACCACCCAAUACUAAAAUGUUGAAGAUAGGUUGCCAAUGGUGAGGUGGAGCGUGGGGUCGAUGACGGUAAUAGCGGCGGGGAACUUCAACCCCCAGCCGAAGGGGCCAUGGCAGGUGGCAGGGAGAGGUUGAGGCUGUAGAGGAGAGGGUGUUUGAGCUUUGGGGGUGGCGAUUUGGAUUUGUUGAAGGAUAGCGGUGGGAUUUGCUGCUCAUUGUGGUUCAGGUGGAGGAACAAAGUAGAAAGAAAGAGACGAAAAUGUGGCCAACACUUUCAAGGAAAAGCAUGAGGUGACAUGGAGGAAUGCAUGAGCGAGGGUGUGGAUAGGCAACCCUUGAAAUGGAUUUCCAAGGACGGAUCACGGGAUGAACCAUCCCUGGAAAUGGGGCUAUUUUUAGGAGCGGAGGGAAACAUGGCCUGCAUCUAUAAAUAAGUAUUUUUAGGGGUAGGUCUUGUUUCUGUUCGUUCUAGGAAAUGUACAUUUCUAGGGGUACCCCACCCCAUAAUUGUAACACCUGGUUUUAAAACAAAACCAAGUGUUACCUAUAUGUAUGCCAGGAUCUAGUUUCAUAUAUAUAGUGAUAUCAUCAGUGAAUAAUAGUAACAAUAUCACGUAAAAAAAUAUAAAUAAUGACUUACGAGUCUAUCAGAGAUAUACAACUUAAUCAUGGAAAUCAAGGCUCCAAACUUCACAAGCAAUCGACUGUGGGUUGCGUACAUCUAGAACUCAGCAUCAUCUUGAGAAAACAUCACACACCUUCUUCUGAGCAGCAGUAAGUAAGGGUGAGUACACUUAUGGUUGGUACUCAGCAAAACCAUAUUGUGCCAAUCAUGCACUCAUCACACUACCGAGGUGUGACUACAUAGGGACACUACAAGAUCUUUACAAAGAUUCCCUAAUAAGUGGUAACCCGCUAAGGUUUCAUGUCGAAGUAGAGCAUAAACCUCUCUCAAGAUUGCGAAGCUAACAUAGAGCAGAUCAGACUGAGGGUCGGGUUACACCUCAUCAACGCCUCCCCUCUUGUCCUUUCGGUAAGAUUACCUCAAGCUGGAGUCUCUAAUUAAUUAGCCAAGACCAGAGCCAUAUAGUCCUUGUAGUUGCACUAUUUUCCUGGGUGGUUCUUCAUGUUCCAAUUAAUGCAUGGUAUUCUUGUAAAAUAAGAAUAGAUAGAAGGAUGGUUAAGGACACCUACCUUUAUCCAACGAAAAGUUACUCUUACUGCUCUUUAGCUCUUGCUCUCUUGAAACUCUUAAUCUUCAAAUCUUUUGAACAACUAUCCUUCUAUUUGAAGAAAUCAUCGGCACAAACAUAUAAGCAAACAAAAAAAGUACAAUUAAGAACAAUACACCAAAACAAAAAAAAUCUUGAAAAGAGUAUAAAGGAUAUGGCUCAAUUCUAAGAUCGCGAGGAUGUAAGAAACGCUUAAAACCAAACUAAGGUUGAAAAGACAAAGCUAUUGAGAGAUUUGAAUUAUAAAAGAAAAAGAAAAGCCUACGUGCUUCAUAUAUUUUAAUAAAGAAAACAAUGUAAAGAUAUUUUAGAGAAAAAUCCUUAUCAAGUUAUAUUUAUAUAUGAAAAGAUCAAGGUAGAACUUCGUCAAAUUUUUAUUUAUAAACAUUAAAGUACAAUUUAGGCAAAUUAAACAUUUAAUUUGAAAAUAAAGUAAGAGCCGCAAGACUCAAGGAACAAGCUAAACCAUUCAGUGGAUCUUCGGGGGUCUAGAUGCAAAAAGCUCAGAACUUUCUUCCUCAUGGCCGACGGUAGCUUGUACAGCCAAAUCACUGGCGCUACGGCGGCUGGGGUCUCCGGCGGACGGCACAGGAGGUGGAGGAGGUCCAGGGGAUCUAGUGGAGGCUCUUACCGGUGGCGGAGGUGAAGGGGGGCGGCCGAAAUUCGGAGGCGAUAAUGACCGCAGCGGUGGCUCGAGCUCCGCGCGGUGGCAACGCUCCGGUGAUGGAGGGGCGUCGAGGGCUGGCGUCAGUUCUUCAUCUUGGUGCAGGGACACUCCAGGUGGCAUCAGCAUGCUCCAGUUCGAACGUCAACCGCGACGAAACGGGCGGCCAACUCCUACGGCACUUCGGCUCUAGCGAUCGAUGGCGCACGGCGCUGCGCGAGCAGGCGAGGUGAGGCGCGAGGGAGGAAGAAGGGAUGAUGCGGAGCCUCAAGCUUGCUAUUUAUAGGGGCGUGGGAGGUGUGCCUUGGAGUGGCACGCACGAUGAGGAAACGACGGCAGUGGCGCAGUCCGCUUGGUGGCCGGGCUUAGAAGGGCCAAGCUGGGCCAACUAGUGGCGGACGGGUCAGAGCGGGCUGAUGCGAGUCAAGCCCAUAGCCUCGGCCCAAACUGAUAGGAUAGGUUUUUUUAUUAUUUUUAGAAAAUAAUUUCCCGUGGAAGGAAAAUCCAGAUAAAUCAAGAUAAUUCAAUAAAAGCUACAAAAAAUACUCUAAAAAUUCCCAAAAAUUUUAGGAAAAAUCCUAGUCGUAGAUUGGGACAUGAGGAAUCCAAAUAAAAUACUUGGAGCCCAUGAAAAAGGAAUUAGAGCCUUCUACUAAAUAGAUUUAUUUCUAGGAAAAUGAGAAUAAAUACCAGAAAGAUCUGGAAAAUUCUCAGGAGAAUUUGGUCGUCGUCUAAAUGCAUUUUUGAAACUUUUUCACUCAUGAAAUACUAUAAUGCAUCGGCAGGAAUGCAAAACACGUAGAAACAUUUUAUUUCUUUCAAAAUCAAUGAAUUGUUUUUCCUAUACUACAUUUCCUGUCAAAAAAAUAAAUGUUGAAAUUUUUUUAAAAUUAUGAGAAAAUCAUUGUUUAAUUAUUAUUUUUAUUUAAUCACAUCCUAAAAUCUAAAAAUUUCAGGGUGUGAAUAAUCCACCCCUAUAAAUCCAUUUUUAGAGGUGGAUGAAUUGCUACAGUAACACCUAUUUUUUGGUUGGGGGGCUUCUCAUCCAGCCAAAAAAAUCAAGUGGCACCUAAAAAUCAUUUUUUAGUAGUGAUCGUACACGCGCUUCACUGCCAUGAACGCCGCCAUGCAUACCGCUCAACCAGCCGCCGGCGCCAUAGAUGGUGGCAUUCCGGUUCUUUCCCCAGUGUGGCAGGCCGCCGUACUUGCCCAUUGCCAUCUGCAUCUUGAUCUCGUCCACGACCUCCAAGUUUUGCACUGCACUAUGGACAAAAUAGUGCCCAUUAUCGUGCAGGGUUUUCCAUGUGAAUUGGCCCAAGGUACAUUCAACUUAUUUUGGCUGGCUUGGUCCCACAGUUUGAACCCAGAUUUUGGAUCUUUCCGCAUUUAAAUUGGUGCUGCUGCUGCAUUUAUUUGAUAAUGGUGCAAGAUAUGGAACCAUACAACAAAGGUAACUCAUCAUUAAUUUAGAAGGGUGCACAGAUUCAUGUAAUAAAUAAUCUACACCACCUAAGAUGUGUCUCUACCUCUAUAUAAACAAGAGCAAUCAAAGCAAUAUGUGCAUACUGGAACAAAAUAUCUACAGGCAUACCAAUAGUGUUCCUUUUCAUAUGGCAGUGAUCAAGAGCAGCGCAGUGAGGUCCAUGUGUGCUGCACUUUGCAUUCUUUUGAUAAUGUCUUCAGCACUCUCAGAGCUGGUGGAAGUUGUGUAUCUAACUGCUUUUCUACUUCCCAUGGUUUCAUUAUAUUCGUGGGGUUUACUAGGUGCGAUGUGGAUUUCAUGCACAUGAUCACGCUGAGUGUGACCCUAUGGACUGAUGCACUGAUCCGAAAUGCGAGGAUGAAUGUCAGAACAAAAAUACUGACCUACCUAUUGAACCUGAGUGCACCACACCUAAGGAGUGUUGCUGCACAUUUUAUCGGGAGGAAGAUAAUUCACUUCUUUGAAUAGAUUAAAAUGGUUGCCGAUGGCUAGAUUCAUUUCAUGGAUGCAGCCGAUACCAGAAUAGUACGCUUGCAUGUAAUGCAUCCAUAAUAUGUUUCUACCCAAAUCUAAUAAAAUAAAUGUGUCCCAUUUGUCCUCUUUUCCUCUAGUGUUUUUUUUACUCCCAAAUUCCAUGCUAAUAAAUGCUGCAUACAUGAUUUUAUUUUAAAAACAUUUCUGAAUACAUUUAAUUUGAUAAGUUCAAACACCGAGUGAGUCUUCUAUCUAUUGUAGGCUUAUGUUUAGUGAAGUGUGCCGGGCCUACUACUUCGGUGUUGGGCUGAGCCCACAUGAGAGCAGCUCCAGCGUUGCUCUUUUGAGGGUGCUCCAAGGAGAGAGAAAAAUAUUCUCCGGCAGCUUCACGCUGGAUCAGAGGGUGCUAGGGAGGUGCUAGGGAGCAGCUGAUGAUGAGUUUUGCACCAGGCGCUACGCAUUCAAUAUAUUUUCUGAAGUAACGUGGUUGGAUGGAUAGGUGAGAUAGUGGGAAGAAAAGCUAGAUCAAUGAUUCUUUAUUCAGCUGGAUCAAUGAUUUCUGAGAUGAGGUACUCAGCAGAUUGAACCGCCACAAGUGCCCUUCUCUUCUUAUCAGCCCGGUGUGCCUUGGUAUUGUCUUCCUGAAUAAUGGCCUUAUUAACCAGAUUACUAGAGCUGUCGUAGUAACAACCAAACGAACUGCAGCUUAGUACCGAGGCCCCUUCUCAAGCAAGCCUACUUUUUAGCAUGACAACUGGCGUACCGAGCAAGUUGAUUAACACUAUUAGCAUAUUGGAACACAGUUUGAUUUCUUUGUUUAAGUGACAUGACCUCUGACGGUUUUCUUUAGGCUGUGGAAAACGGCUCGUACCAACUCUGCCCGUUGAGAUGACCACACCCUGUUUCCAUUACCCCGUUAGGAAUGGAAACACAAACCAUUAUCUUGUACCCUAUCUUAACUCUGAAGUCUUCUUGGAAUAAUUUUCCGAUAACGGAAGUUUUAUUGAUUUAAUAAAUGUUACAUCACGGUGAUAUAAUUAACUUGAAAUCCUCCCAGCAUGUGCAAGCACAGAGCCUUACAGGCAGAAACAAAUGCAGAUGCGCUAAUGACCAUCAAUCCGAGGACUCCGCCACCCAUGCACUUAGGUAAAAAAAUUCCUCGACCACUUUCACCAAGCACUGAGAUGAGAUGCCGCUGCAACGGAAACAUAUGCCGUAGACUUUUGGAGCAUAGCCCAUGUACGAAGCUAGUGGAUAACUCUAAAGAUAACCUGCAUUGGAUGAGAUAAGGGUUUGUUUUCAAAUACCAUAGCAUUCUUGCAGAGCAACAAUAACAACAUAGUAGCAAUCACCCCAAGUAAAUAAUGCCCGUCAACCAAGUGCCGAAAAUAUUUUCUAGGCUAAGGGGCUUGAGAAAGACUUCAGUUGCAAACAUAUCCGUAUUAUCCUCACUGAAUGGUCAUAAGUGUUUCCCUUCCGUUGCCGACACAAGACCAUCCGACGGCGAAGGGUGACUAACGCCACUAGCUGGUAAACUAAGUAUGCUGGAACUUGUCCACUAAGGUUAGAGUCUAGCUAACUCAGCAUGGGUGCCCAUAUUUCUUAAUUAUGUUUCCGUUGGUUGAUAACAUACCCAUCGGCAUCCUAUCGUCAUGACUUAAUGAAUCCCAAUAUCUUCUAGACUAACGUUUACUUACAUGAGUAGGGUGUGUAUGCAUGUGUGGUUAACAGGUAUUUACUUUAAGGUCGGCUGGGCCGGCUUUCUCGAUGUGUCUAAUUAUGCUUAAGAAAAAGAAUCACUAGUGGAAAACUGAGUUUUAGUCCCGGUUGCAGACACGCAUAGAUGUCAAAAAUCCAACCGGAACUAAUCAUUCGGACUGUAAUAAUAAAAUUUGUUUGAAAUUAAAUACAUUGCAUUUAAAUUUUCAUGGGCAUUUAAACCUUUUUCAAAAUAAAUUAAUGAAUCAUAGGAGUUCGUUGUUGCAUUCACGAUGGUGCAUUAUUUUUGGUUGCUUGAAUUCAAAUUUGUGUUUGAAUUCAUCUGUUUGACUCUUUUAAACAAAUAGGAAACCCCUUUUCUUUUCCCUCCCUUUUCUUUUCUUCCUUUCAGCCUGUUUCUUUCUUUGGGCCCACUUCCUUCUCUUUCGCCCAGCAGCAAAACUGAAUAUGCACUUUGAAGAUAAACAUGCGAACCAUCAAAGGGCAGCAGACAACUUACAUACGCGACGGAGCGUUCUAAAUGGCAGAGUAGCCUUGCUGCCACGAUCCACUAAGAUCCAGCCCCACGUCGCAUGAAUUCCUCCCUCCCCCCUCCACCCCCGACAACGGCUUCAGGCUUGGACCCGCUACGACGACCAAGGACAAAUGCGCUCAAGGCUUGGGAAGAAAUUAACUUCCAUUGUCGGAACACUUGUUAAGGAUUACAAGAGACCAUAUCGCAAGUUUAUCUUCUUAGGUAUGGUCCACAAUGGAAGAGAGAUCUCCUAACUUGACCAAGCGGAUGUACACACUAUCAUUUGGCACGAAUCAGGCCAAGUCAGAUAGGUGCUAGUGGAGUUCCAUAUUCCACUACGUCCGGUAUGUAACUCAUAAUCGACCACCGGGGAGGGACAUGUGUGGGAUGGAUCGAAGACAAGACAAUGGCCAACACACGCAUGGACAUACCGGCCACAGGGUACCAUUACGUGUUUGUUGGACCCAACACAUGAAAAUAGCUGCGUUGGCCAUGAAAAUGUUUCCUAUAGGUCACACCUAGUGGCAUCAAAACCAUUUAGUGCCACUAACUGGUUGUGAUGAUUGAUGUCACAAACGGUUCUUUGUGCGUAGCGAGUUUAUAGCUGUAAUUCAAUUGAACCUGUUCUAGUACCUUGAACAACUAGUUCUUGAUGAGUAGCCAGGAGUGACGUUCCAUUUGUAACUAUUUAUUCUCUAUUAGUCUAAUGUUGUGAUAAAUGAUUUGCGUUGUCAGUUUAUGCACUUUGGCAGCCUGGAUGUAUGUCUUUUGAAGUAUGUGUAACUUUCUCUAGAAUUGAGGAACUUUAAUUGACUAAGUGGUCUUGGAUUUACAGCAUCAACCACUAUAAUUAGCCAUUGCUCCAAUGGCCCAUUUUUUCCGUUAAUGCUAUAUGAUCCGACACCAAUAUGUGUACAAACAUAAGAGCAUCUGACGAGUAUCAUUUUACGGUGAAGACAUUGGAUCCCCACUCGCACUAACACAUUGCAAAUGCGAAAAGCAGGACCGGGUCUCCCCCCUGCAAUAAAUGCCAUUUUAACUGGUCCUAUAAACUGUUUUCUAGUGGUGUGAUGUAGUCUGUUGGAAUCAGCACCGUGGAACCAUCUGACAUUCAUACAUUAGCUUCACCAAACAAAUAUUCUUCUGUGCAUUAAAGCUUCAUACUUCAACAUGUACAAGUUCUCUAUGUAGGAUAUUUCAGCUAGAAGAUCUUCCCUUUCUUGAACUAGCCAUUUGAGCAUUAUUCAUUCUCAGGCCCAUUGUUCCAACGGCUUGCACGUUCUUGGAAUGUGUUAUCAUGGAAUGCUAGGGGUAUCGAUUCGUAGACAAGAUGGAAUGUCGUCAAGAGCAAAAUAUCUGAAUCCAACUGUGAUAUUGCCUGUUUACAAGACACCAAAAGGGAGUUUUUUUAUGCUAGAUAUAUUAGGAACUUCUAUCUCCCACAGUUAGAUUCUUUCGAUUUCCUCCCAUCUAUUGGCAACUCAGGGGGAACUAUUAUAGUGUGGAAUGGUUCCAAAUUCAAGGGGGAACCUAUCUUUCAAAAUCUUUAUGCCCACUUUGUAGAUUUUCAGUGCAAGCUAUCAGGGGAACGUUGGAUCCUCACGAAUAUCUACGCCCCAUGUACUCCGGAGGGGAAGCUAUCCUUUAUUGACUGGUUCAAAAGGGUUGAAAUACCAGAGGAAAAAAAUUGGCUAAUAGUUGGGGACUUCAACCUUCUUAGGAAGCCGGAUGACAGAAACAAUCCGGGGGAAACAAUCCGGGAGGAAAUGUUCAGGAAAUGCUUCUCUUCAAUGAAGCUAUUAGCAGGCUUAGGCUCACAAAAAUUCAGCUCAAAGGAUGCAAGUACACUUGGUCCAACAAACAGCAGAAUCCUCUUCUGGAGAGGCACGAUUGGUUCUUCAUAUCUAACCCUUGGACCAUCUCCUAUCCCAAUACUUAUGCCUCAUCGCUGUCCAGUGACUCCUCAUAUCAUGUUCCUUGUGUAGGCUCGAUCUCUAAUAGCAUUCCACAGCCACAAGUUUUUAGAUUUGAGAAUUAUUGGCUAGAACAUGAUCGGUUCCCAACCAUUCUCCAACAAGGUCGGGCAACUCCACUUCUAGGCACAGAUAGGGCAAAGAACAUCGGGGCCAAGUUCAAAAACCUGAGGAAGGUUUUCAGGAUCUAGAAAGCAUAGCUCCCCAGUUUGGCGAAAGCAAUCCAGAGCACCAAAGACACCAUUCAACUCCUUGACAUCAUCGAAGAACUUAGAGAUCUUACCCUGCAAGAAUGGAACUUUAGAGAAGUCAUCACAUCACAUCUGAAUAGCUUGCUCCACCAACAAAAAGUCUAUUGGCAGCAAAGAAGCUCCAUCAAUUGGGCCAAAAUGGGGGAUGAAUGUACAAAAUUCUGCCAUGCAAGGGCCUCAGUCAGAAAUAGAAUCAAUUAUAUCACUUCUUUAGUUGAUGCCAAUGGACAAAUUGUCUCUAAACAUGAAGCUAAAGCCAGGAUUCUUUGGGAAGCUUAUAAGGAAAGGAUGGGGAGAUUUGAAUUUACUCACAUGUACUUUGAUCUUUCUACUAUCUUGACAUCAGAUCCAAAUUUGGAAUGGCUAGAAUCUCCCUUUAUGAAAGCAGAGAUCGACACAAUUACAGGGGAACUUCCAAGUAACAAGUCCCAAGGCCUAGAUGGCUUGAAUGGAGAGUUUCUCAAGAGAUGUUGGGACUUGAUAGCUGAAGAUUUUUAUAGACUGUCUGAAGGUUUUCUUGACAUAAGUGUGUGUGUUCAGAGCAUUAAUGCUUCAUACAUCACACUAAUCCCCAUGAAAGACUGUCCCUCUCAAGUGGGAGACUUCACGCCAAUCUCCCUCCUAAACUCAACGAGCUAAUAACUAAAAUUCUAGCAGAAAGGCUACAACAGGUUAUCUUAAGACUAGUGUAUAAAAAUCAGUAUGGUUUCAUAAAGUCUAGAUCCAUACAAGACUGUUUAGCAUGGGCUUUUGAAUAUCUUCACAUCUGUAAAGCCUCAAAGAGAGAAUUAAUCAUCAGCAAGCUGGACUUUGAAAAAGCCUUUGAUAGGAUUGAGCACCAAGCCAUUUUGGAUAUCUUAAAACAUAAGGGCUUUGGGGACAGAUGGAUUGGGUGGAUAAAGGACAUUCUCAACACUAGAACAUCUUCAGUACUCCUCAAUGGUGUGCCAGGGAAAGUCUUUCAUUGCAGAAGAGGUGUCAGACAGGGGGAUCCUCUAUCCCCACUUCUAUUUGUGCUAGCACCGGACCUUUUUCAGUCAAUCCUAAAUAAAGCCAAAGAGGAAGGAAGCUUACACCUACCGAUCCCUGAAAGAGCUGGACCUGACUUCCCAGUUAUACAAUAUGCAGAUGACACCCUUCUGGUCAUGGAAGCAGAUCCUUCCCUGUUGUUGCAUCUCAAGCAUCUGCUUAAUCAGUUUGCGGAGUCAACUGGUCUUAAAGUAAACUACAACAAGACUGUUAUGGUACCUCUGAACACUUCUGAGGAUAAACUCCGACAACUUUCGUCAAUGUUCGAUUGCCAUGUCGGAAGCUUGCCACUCACCUACUUGGUGCUACCACUUGGUGCAACAAAGCCUAACAUUGAGGAAUUCCUUCCAUUAAUACAGAAGGUGGAGCGAAGAUUGGGAGGCAUCUCUAACAUGUUAUCUCAAGGGGGCAAACUCGAACAGGUAAAUUCAGUCUUUUCUUCCUCACCAAUGUUUCAUAUGGCAACCUUAAAGCUUCACAAGGGGGUUAUCACACAAUUAGAUAAAUAUAGGAAACACUAUCUCUGCAGAGGAUCUAAUUUGAAUUCUAGGAAACCCUCCAAGGCAGCUUGGCCUAUGGUGUGCCUACCAAAACAGCAAGGAGGACUUGGGGUUAUUAACCUGAACAGUCAAAAUGAUGCCCUUCUUCUCAAGUUCCUACACAAGUUCUUCACCAGAGCUGAUACUCCCUGGGUUCAUUUAUUCUAGGAUAAUUAUUAUUCUAAUGGGAAACUGCCUGGACAGCACAAAAAGGGCUCAUUCUGGUGGAGAGAUUUAGUCAAGCUACUGGACAAAUACGAAGGAAUAGUGUCGGCAUGGGUAUCGGAUGGCUCUACUGUAUUGUUCUGCAUGGACACAUGGAUUGAGCAGGUCCUCUACCUGGAAUUCCCCCAGUUAUUCUCUUAUGCCAAAAACAAACUGGUAUCAUAUAAGGAGGCUACAAGCAGAAUAUCACUGUCUCAAAAUUUUCACCUGCCACUCUCAGAAGAAGCUCAUCAGCAGUUGCUGAUUCUGCAGAAUAGAUUGAGGAAUACUGUGAGAGCUCAAGGCAGAGAUCAGUGGACUUACAUUUGGGGAAGCCCCCGCUUUUCGGUAGCAAAAACUUAUAAAGUCAUAACAGGCACAAGAACCAUACAUCCAAUUCAUAGAUGGAUAUGGAAAUCUAAAUGCCAAAAGAAGCACAAGAUAUUUUUCUAGCUAUUAAUUAAAUUCAGACUGAGCACCAAAGACAUUCUAAGCAGAAAAACAAUGUAUUUGGAUACUUAUGCUUAUGUGCUUUGCAUCCUCCAGAAAAAGGAGACAAUGCCGCACUUAUUCUUGAGAUGCAACUUCUCGAAAGCUUGUUGGAGCACUUCCUCCAGGCCACCCUUUCGGAUUUUUAACUCAAUCAAGGAUAAACUGAACGUUCCCUUCUACAUGGAGAUCAUUAUUUUAAUGGCCCGGAGCAUUUGGUCCGUGAGGAAUGACUGGACCUUCAACAAUGUCCCCCCUCGGUACAGAGCUGCAAAAGGAAAUUCAUGGAAAAAAUGAAUACCGUCUGUCUACAUAGAGCGAAAUCUUCCCUAGCUCUUGCCAUGAUGGAAUGGUUGUAAUCUUUUCUUUCUUUUUUCUUCCUUUGUUGUUGCCUUUUCUACCUUCUACUUCUGUUGUUUCUUGGACUCGCCUUUCAUUUAAUAUAUUUCAGUAGGAGCUUGCCCCUCCCGUUCCUUCAAAAAAAAAACUUCGAGCACUUCUCCAUGGGCUUCAUCACCAUAGUUUCGAUUUGGGCAAUUUCAUUGCACCGAACCUUCCAGCUUGCAUUUUCUUAACUGAAUCUCGAGCAUGGGGCAAUAUUCUGGCAUCUACAACGGACCUGCCAUCAAGCAUUCCAAUGUAUAGAUCUAUCCUGUUUGUUUGCCUAAUAUUCGGAUGCAAUACUCCGCCGUGUGUAAAAAAAUCCAAGGCCAACGGACCAUACCGUGUUAACAAUUUUAGUGCCUAAUCCAAUACAAAAUUAGUUCCAGUUUGUACGGCUACUCAUUCAUUGCAGUCUUCAGACCAAAUCUACGGUGACAUAUUUUUGGAAAUAAGCUUGUCGAAAUCACUAUAUUGUAAUUCAAUCACCAAAAUCUGAACUAUGGUCUGAUGGAGCCAAUUCUCCGUGGGCUUUAUUACCAAAGUUUCACCUUAGGCAAUUUCAUUUCACCUAACCUUCCAGCUUGCAUUUUCUUAACUGAAUGUUAAGCACGGUGCAAUACUCUGGCAUGUGCAACUGACCUGCCACCAAGCACUGCGAUGCAUGGUUCUAUCCUCUUUGGUUGCCUAAUAUUCUGUAAAAAAAAUAUUCAAGGCCAACAGACCAUACCGUGUUAAAAAUUUUAGUGCCCAAUCCGAUACAAAAUCAGUUCCAGCAAUGACGGCUAUUCAUCCAUUGCAGUGUUUGGAACACCUCCACAGUGACUAUAUUGUAAUUCAAUCACCAAAAUCCGAAACUAUGGUCUAGUGAAGCUAUAUUGUGUACGAAAUAUUAAUUCAUGGGAUUUGUCAACGAUUUUAUGAAGCUGUAUAUAUGAUACCUUCCACUACGGGAUUUGUGUACAAAAUAUUAAUUCAUGAGAUUUGUCCAUGAUUUUAGGAAGCUAUGAUAUCUUCAACUACCGGAUUGCGUAUAUAAGAUAAUCUUCACCAGUUAUCACAGGAGGAAGCACGCAUUAAAUAAUAAAUAACUAAUGCUGAUUCAACUCUGAGAUGAAAAGGAUUCCGUUCUCAAAAAUCGAAAAAAAGGUAACGUGCUCAUAACAAUGUCGACUCUUCACAUCUGAGAAGCUUAUAAGUGAACUACCUACCGUAUGUUAUUAAAACAUUUUUGCUGCCUAUAAAUUGGGCAUCAUUUCAGCAGACCACCACGGCACCUGAGCUUGCCAUCUUUUCCUGCUCAUCAUAUGUCCCGUAGCUACUAGCUACUAGCUAAGCCAUCUUUUCCUGCUCAUCAUAUGUCCCGUAGCUACUAGCUACUAGCUAAGCCAUCUUUUCCUGCUCACUCAUUUGUCCCGUAGCUACUAGCUAAGCCACCAUAUCAUCCAUGGCUUCUGGUGCCUCCACCACGCUGAAGAUGGCCUCUAUCGCCGCUUGCAUCCUGCUGGUCCUGCUGUCCAAUGGCCACCCUACCGCGGCAGCCGUUGAUUGUAUUGCGGCUUGCAAAGAACCGUGCCAGGGUUUUUCUAACGGGCUCUGCGCGGGUGGAGCCACCAGCGGUUGUACGACUACGGCAGCAGCUACAGCAUGCCGCAAUUUGGCGUUCUCGCAGUGUGCGAACACCUGCUUCACAGUUUGCACUGCUGUGAGCAUCGCGCCUUGCACUUGAAGAUGCAUUCGUGUUCCUACUUCCACAUUAUUGUUACUGCAGAAUAAUAUGGGUCAGUGCACACAAGCAUACAUGAUGAGCCACUGUCGUUUUUCCAUUUUGUCAUUUAUUUAUUGAAGGCAAUGUACGUUUUUCCAUUUGAUCAUUUACUUAUUGAAGGCAAUGUACGUGUCUAUCUCCUGUGUGGUUGAGCAUGUCAUCUUGGAAUUCUGUCCAAAGUUUUACAUACCACCUUGUAUUGUUGUGUGUGGGUAUCAAUAUAAUUUAUGAACUAUCUUCCUUUAUCAUAGACAUAUCAACUUUCCACUGCAAGAAACUAUUUAAUCUGUGACGAAACAAAAUUGUCACAUAUCACUAAAAAAUCGUCAUAAAGCAAUGCCCGUGAUGAUUUCAGAUAACGUCAUGUAUUGAGCGUCACAGAUUAAAUCGAUCGACGUUUUCUUCGAAAUCGUCACAGAUCAACACAAUCUAUGAUGUUUUUUACCUGUCACAAAACACCCUUAGGCCCGUGCAGCAGCCCAGGCCUAGUGUUUGUGACGAAAAUAAACAUCACAGAUGGUUGCCACGUGGCUGGUGAUGUGGUUGAUGACGUGGACGAGGACAUGGCUAGUGACGUCAUUGAUGAUGUGGCCAGUGACGUCGAUGACAUGGAGAGGCUUCACCAUAGUAUUUUGUAUCGCCGUUAGACCUAUCGUUUAUUUCCGCUGCUUUUGAACUCUGAACGCUACUUUUAUGCAUGUGAACUAUAGGCUUGUAAUAACUUAAUGUGGGACCUGUAAUAAUUUAUCUGGAUUGUUGUAAUCUUUGGACUCGUCUUCGUGCGAGUAUACUUUGUUUCGAUCCGAAACACAUGGUUGCAUCGGGUGAAACCCGACAGACUACCAAUUUAAUUCGAUUAAAGUGUCUAUUCACAUUUAAGGCUAUGUUGAAUAUACUUUAGCCGGGUUAACUUGGAUGGUUCUACCACACUGGCGCAUCCCUGAGGAUUCCUAUCUGCUUGCUCGAUGUCAUCUGUAUCUGGCCCUGUGAUAAGGGCGAAGAGUUCAUUGUCUAGAGAGAGGCUUCCAGAACUUUGGGUGAUGACUUAUUUAGAGUCAUUGUCUUCAUGGAUAGAAGACAAAGGUGAUCCCUCCUAGUACGGAAGAACGUUGAGAUGGGCCAUGAAGUGUGAUUCGUUGUCCUGGGCGAGGGUAGGUAGCCUCAUGCCAGGCUAGUAGAUGAAUCUGCCUUGAGGGGUUGAGGUGAUCACCAGGCCCUGCUGCGAACCUGUUAGUGGAGUCUCCUCGUCGGAAUCCAAGUAGUGAUCGUAGUUGUGGUCCUUAAUCGGACAUGAGUUAGAUUGCAACCCGGAUAAGGCUGCUUGAUAGGUGGAAGCUGCGUUACAGAGUCCGAAUGGGAGUUGGCUCGGAAUUUGACUUGAUUCGCACGAUGCAGAACCUGACAAGAUAACCUGCUGGGGUAUUACGUCAAUAGAUCAACCAAAAGAAUGCGCAAUAAUAUCUACCACCAAAGGCAACCCAAAAGCAUUAUCUACCUAUAGUGCCAGAUCAGUCAUCAACAAAGAUCUAUGGAGACCUUGUUUUCUCUUGCUUUGGAUUUGGAGAUAGCAUAGAACAAAAGCCUUGAACCUACAUAAACAAAGAAAAAAAGUACUGCAGUGCUAAAAAUAAGAAAUACCUCGUAGAAAAAUACCAGUAAUGGGUUUAUGGGUUCCCACUCAUCCUUGGGUAGCCACUUCUCUAGAGAGAUUCUUGUGUGUUCCGGUGUUGUAGUUUUCUGCGCAUGAUACAUAGCAACAUAAGGGCUAUUCCCCAACCUCAUAAUUGAUAGUAAUGUACAUCUUCUGGAAAGGACCUCUUUCUGUUGCAAGUGUGACUGCCACGCUCAUGCCAUUAAAGAAGUUAGCAGUUCGGUUAGGCAAUUAGUUGCCCACAGGAGGAAAGUAAAGCAACCGUGGAGAGUGCAGAGGCGUCUUUCUAGCUCCAGCAUCACCAAGCACACCACACCAGUCAUCAGCUAAUCUGAUGACAUGGCAGGAAAUUUAAGAGGGGAGAGAAGGAAUUAGUUUCAUCUAGAUGAAAUUCUUCUCGCAAUAAACCAACUCUGAAUGUGUCAUGAAAUUAAAUGUACCCCAUGCCGCUUUUUGUGCGCUCUUAUUAAUGUCGCUUUGUCUAAGUUCAAUACACUUACCAAGACUAUCGCAUUUGGUGACUGGCACUCCACCUAAGGGUACCCAGAUGGUUGAUUUGUAAACACAGAGGAUCGCAAGACCAUGAACUACUUGAUGGUAAUGCAAGGCACAAGACAUAGAGAUUUAUACAUGUUCGAGCCGUUAGUGUAGCGUAAUACCCUACGUCCUGUUUUGGGGGAUUGUAUUGCGCCCUGCGCUCGGGUGUUGGUUGUUGUGUUGAGGGAUUGGCCGUCCUCCUAGGGGUACCCCUACGUACCCUUAUAUACUCCCCUAAUAACUCUUCUUAAUAGGAUAGAUUACCAAGUAGAAUUAAUUAUGCAUGCACGCUUUCAGUAAUUGUCGCACCUAUUAGCCUUCCUUAUUUAGCGAGACUUCCUCGGGCAUCGAUGGUGUGCCGUUUCUAUAGUGAACGGUAAUGAAUGUGGACACUUUUAUGAGUGCUGACACGAAAGGUUCAAUUUGUAUGAAUGAUCUUCUGUAGGUACACUAACCGCGCUUACGUUACGUUAACAAAAGGUUAGAGAAUUGACUAGUUAUUAUAGGAAGAGCCGAAAACUGUUGCCUCGCCACCAGCACUAACCCCGUAAGUCCAAGUAAUUGGCAGUUCUUUCAUUUGUGAGGACGCAUAGGUCAUGCAUGCAUCAUGUUAAAAACUUGCAAAUUGGAAAUUGGAACAACUUUCCUAUAGAUGAUUGGGAGGACUAAUGUCACUCUCACAAAAAAUUUUGCCAAAUCACCUAAGGAUUUUCUAGUUGUCUCGAACUGCAGCUAACUACUGUCAGAAAUUUUUUUCUCCGAGCUCUUAAAUGGUCUUGGUUCCAGAAUUUAGUAAAUGAUAUGCUGUAAAAAUUUCAUAAAUUUUGGUCAAGUGAAACUCGAGUUAUGCUUGAAUAACUAACCCACUGUUUGCAAACUGCCACUAAGGUUCACAGGUAGCUCUGAAUGUUCGCUUCUCUGUUGAACAUUACUCUGAAACCUAGCAGAAAAGGGUCGAACAGGGACAGCCAGUGCAGCCAAGAAUCCAUGAACUAAGGUCAAUAUCAAGAAGUAUGUCUGAAGCUAGUAGCAGUGGUUCAGGCUCCAAGUACUUCUUGCCAAAAUUGUGUCCUCCCGGGUUGACUCGUACCCAAAGGAGGAAGUUGCAGAGGUUAAGGCUGCAGGAGAAGAGGGAACAGAAGCUGGAGAAGCGAAGGAAUGAGGCAUUCAACACGAAUAGACCCAUAGUCCCUCAGAAGAAGGAGUGGAGAGUUAAGGCCGAUACCCCCAACUCCACCAGUCAGACUUGCAGAAGGACCGGUCGGACCUAGUGCGGUCGGCAUGGUCGGGGCGGUCACUGGCGCAGUCGGCGUGGUUGAUGACUCGGUCGGCGCGGUCGUCGGCGCAGUCAGACCGGUCGAGGGGUCGGCGAGGAGCGACGGCGGGGCAACAAAGUAACCGUGAGCGUGGCGGGGCGGAGCUUGAGCGGCGGAGGCGGAUGGGAGGGGUGGAGGCGGCGGUGGAUGUGGAGGGGAGGUAGCGGAGGGGGAGGAGGAGGAGGAGGCAGAGGAGGCCGGCGGUGGGCGGAGGAGGUGGAGGAGGGUGAGGAGGAGGAGGAGGCAGAGGGAGGUCAGGGCUGGCGGGGGGAUUUUCUUUUUUUAAGAACAUUCAGCCUUAUUAUCACCUAGCGGAGGCGGAUGGAGUUCCACAACAUGGUGUAUCGGACGGGCAUUUCAUUGAAGUCCCUAGGGGCGUCUAAUGGGUGGCUGUAGUGGGUGUACAUCACGACGAGCGUCUGUAGCCAUUGCGACAGCCUAGAGCACGACAACGAGGCGGAAGACCCCGUCAUGGGUGAAGAUGGCCAGCGUUUUUUUAAAAAAACUUACAGGUGGCCAGUGUGGUGGGCAUGAUUGGGCUUAUCACCAGUGGCGGAGGAGGCGGACGCACGAAGCGAUGGGAAUGGCGCCGAGUUUGGUCGAACCAUCUGGAAACCAGAGUUGCAACGCUUGCACUGGACGGCUGAGAUUUACGAUGCUCGAUAUCUGACGGGCGAAAAAGGGAGAGACUUGGCCCAAUCACUGCAGAGAAACUUCACCGGAAAUCAGGGUAAGCCUAAUAAUUUUGGCAGCUGUGUAUAUUUAGAUGCAUAUAAACAUUUAUAAACCUAAAACAUUAAAAUGACCUGCAAUUAAAAAUGGAGGGGUAAAAAAGAAGGCCCCGACAAACGUGUCAGCACAUUCCUGCCUUUCUCCCCCCAAUGAGUAAACUCCAAUCCAAAAUUUGACUGUAUUUUGUUAACGGUUAUAUUUCAUAAGUUUGAUAACAAUACCCAGCUAGGGCUAAUGAUGAUAUGAAAUUGGCCACAAUUUUUGUUCUUGGGAGGUAUCUGUGAGGUGAGAAAAUGGGCAACAUGUGUGGAAAAUGCUAAUACGCCUACCGUGUGGCAUAUUUUGCGUUGUACCACAUACUUACCAAUACUGAUACAAGAUAUGCUCAAUACCCCUCAAUCCAACUUACCAAUACUGAUACAAGAUAUGCUCAACUUGUGAACUUAACUGAGGUAUAUGCUUUCUAUGUUCGUCCGUUCCAGCAAUUGUCUAAGGCAACGCGAAAUCCAGUUACUGUGGGCUAAUAACAACCUAUCUGUUGGUGUUUCUUGGUGUCUAUGGGUGUGCUUCUGAUUUGCAUGCUUUUUUUGUUUGUUGUGUGAUGAAAUAAGGCACUAUGUACAUCUUUGCUUAUUAUUUCCCACUGAUAUAUGGGUACGGACGUGUAAUCAUUAAUUGUGAUAUUCAUUCAGCUGACGACAGUCAGUUGACAUCACUUGAAAGUAUGCUUGAAUUCGUAAGGUGUCCCGUGCAAGUAGCGUGGCUACAACCGCGGCAAUAUUUUUUUCUGAUCAAAAUCGAUCGUCCUUUUUUGUUGAAAAGAUAAGUAUGAUAUACUUCACGUGGUGUUAGACUUGCAAAUUUUUGAGUGCAAUAUAUGAGUAAGUAUUCAAUACUAACAUUUUUUCUCUAAACAUUAACUACCAACAUAGCUUAUCAGAUAAUGCAGCAUUGUUUAUCCGACAUGCAUAACCACCUAACACUCAGACACUGAGACACACCAUCCAUUACCGUCACUGAAUCUAUGUCAGCGCGCUGAGCCAGGGUUAGGAACCUCCACUAACUCGUUAGAGGCAAACCCAAGAUCUAGACUGCUUCUGCUUAAUUCCCUCACUAGCUUAAUCCACUAUGAAAUGUAAAUGCACAACACUCUUAGCAAUUCGCUCAUAAGAUUCUUGAAUUUGGCAAAUUUUUGGUGCAAUCUUCACUGCGAGAAAAACGACCUUUUGUCCAACAUAUUAGUACCGGCCACAUUUCAACCCGGUACUAAUACCAACAUUAGUAUGGGAUCCAAUUUAGUAGCCACCGGAGACCUUUUAGUACCAGGUCAUAACACCACCCAAUACUAAAAUGUUGAAGAUAGGUUGCCAACGAAAAGUUACUCUUACUGCUCUUUAGCUCUUGCUCUCUUGAAACUAUUAAUCUUCUAAUCUUUUGAACAACUAUCCUUCUAUUUGAAGCAAUCAUCGGCACAAACAUAUAAGCAAACAAAAAAAGUACAAUUAAGAACAAUACACCAAAACAAAAAAAAGCUUUAAAAGAGUAUAAAGGAUAUGGCUCAAUUCUAAGAUCGCGAGGAUGUAAGAAACACUUAAAACCAAACUAAGGUUGAAAAGACAAAGCUAUUGAGAGAUUUGAAUUAUAAAAGAAAAAGAAAAGCCUACAUGCUUCAUAUAUUUUAAUAAAGAAAACAAUGUAAAGAUAUUUUAGACAAACAUCCUUAUCAAGUUAUAUUUAUAUAUGAAAAGAUCAAUGUAGAACUUCGUCAAAUUUUUAUUUAUAAACAUUAAAGUACAAUUUAGGAAAAUUAAACAUUUAAUUUGAAAAUAAAGUAUAGGUAAACAUCUAAGCGCAUAACUUUAUGAUUCAGGUUGAACUAACCAAAUAUAAUUAAAAAAACACAUUUCUAUUUAUAUUUGUCAAAAUAAAAUUUAAUAAAUAAAACUUGAGAUAUAACCUAUGUAGCUUUUAUUUAUAAAACAAAAUCAAGACACAUUAAUCAAGUUGAGUUUAAUUGAUGAAAAGCUGAGGUAUAUCUCUAAUUAGCUUUUAGUUGGAAGAGUUGCUUAAAUAAGCAUUAACCAAAUUUACAUUAGUUAUCAAAAUACGAGGUUGAACUUUAAUUAGAUUUUAAUUAGAAAAGCAAGUAUAUAAAUACUUAAUCAUAUUAAUAUUUUAAAUAAAUUAUAAAAUAGGGAACAUGAUUAACAUUGCUUCUAACACAUUGUGUUAAGUUGAUAUGAAUCUAACGCAAUAAGAACGAGGUUAAACGGAGGUAAAACAUGGAAUCUAUGGAUUAAACAAGGUUCUAAGGAUCUAAAUAGAAUUAACUAUAGAUCUCAGGGGCUAGCAGAGAAGAUUCACAAGACAUGGAAAUGUGCUUCAAAAAGGCUGAAAGAUCAAGGUUAGAUUCAUAAAUGGAGCUUGGGUUGGACUAGGUUGUAGGAACCUCAUCUAACCAGGGGGUUCUAUGUAAGAGCCGCAAGACUCAAGGAACAAGCUAAACCAUUAAGUGGACCUUCGAGGGUCUAGAUGCAAAAAGCUCAGAGCUUUCUUCCUCAUGGCCGACGGUAGCUUGUACAGCCAAAUCACUGGCGCUACGGGCGGCUGGGGUCUCCGGCGGACGGCACAGGAGCUGGAGGAGGUCCAGGGGAUCUAGUGGAGGCUCUUACCGGUGGCGGAGGUGAAGGGGGCCGGCCGAAAUUCGGAGGCGACAAUGACCGCAGCGGUGGCUCGGGCUCCGCGUGGUGGCAACGCUCCGGUGAUGGAGGGGCGUCGAGGGCUGGCGUCAGUUCUUCGUCUUGGCGCAGGGACACUCCAGGUGGCAUCAGCAUGCUCCAGUUCGAACGUUAACCGCGACAAAACAGGCGGCCAACUCCUACGGCACUUCGGCUCUGGCGAUCGACGGCGCACGGCGCUGCGUGAGCAGGCAAGGUGAGGCGCAGGGCGAGGGAGGAAGAAGGGACGACGCGGAGCCUCAAGCUUGCUAUUUAUAGGGGCGUGGGAGGUGUGCCUUGGAGUGGCGCGCACGAUGAGGAAACGACGGCAGUGGCGCAGUCCGCUUGGUGGCUGGGCUUAGAAGGGCCAAGCUGGGCCAACUAGCGGCGGACAGGUCUCAGCGGGCUGACGCGAGUCAAGCCCACAGCCUCGGCCCAAACUGAUAGGAUAGGUUUUUUUAUUAUUUUUAGAAAAUAAUUUCCUGUGGAAGGAAAAUCCAGAUAAAUCAAGAUAAUUCAAUAAAACCUACAAAAAAUACUCUAAAAAUGCCCAAAAAUUUCAGAAAAAAUCCUAGUGGUAGAUUGGGACACGAGGAAUCCAAAUAAAAUACUUGGAGCCCAUGAAAAAGGAAUUAGAGCCUUCUACUAAAUAGAUUUAUUUCUAGGAAAAUGAGAAUAAAUACCAGAAAGAUCUAGAAAAUUCUGAGGAGAAUUUGGUCGUCGUCUAAAUGCAUUUUUGAAACUUUUUCACUCAUAAAAUACUAUAAUGCAUCGGCAGGAAUGCAAAACACGUAGAAACAUUUUAUUUCUUUCAAAAUCAAUCAAUUGUUUUCCUAUACUACAUUUCCUGUCAAAAAAAUAAAUGUUGAAAUUUUUUUAAAAUUAUGAGAAAAUCAUUGUUUAAUUAUUAUUUUUAUUUAAUCACAUCCUAAAAUCUAAAAAUUUCAGGGUGUGAAUAAUCCACCCCUAUAAAUCCAUUUUUAGAGGUGGAUGAAUUGCUACAGUAACACCUAUUUUUUGGUUGGGGGGAUUUCUCAUCCAGCCAAAAAAAAUCAAGUGACACCUAAAAAUCAUUUUUUAGUAGUGAUCGUACACGCGCUUCACUGCCAUGAACGCCGCCAUGCAUACCGAUCAACCAGCCGUCGGCGCCAUAGAUGGUGGCAUUCCGGUUCUUUCCCCAGUGUGGCAGGCCGCCGUACUUGCCCAUUGCCAUCUGCAUCUUGAUCUCGUCCACGACGUCCAAGUUUUGCACUGCACUAUGGACAAAAUAGUGCCCAUUAGGUUUUCCAUGUGAAUUGGCCCAAGGUACAUUCAACUUAUUUUGGCUGGCUUGGUCCCAUAGUUUGAACCCAGAUUUUGGAUCUUUCCGCAUUUAAAUUGGUGCUGCUGCUGCAUUUAUUUGAUAAUGGUUCAAGAUAUGGAACCAUACCACAAAGGUAACUCAUCAUUAAUUUAGAAGGGUGCACAGAUUCAUGUAAUAAAUAAUCUACACCACCUAAGAUGUGUCUCUACCUCUAUAUAAACAAGAGCAAUCAAAGCAAUAUGUGCAUACUGGAACAAAAUAUCUACAGGCAUACCAAUAGUGUUCCUUUUCAUACGGCAGUGAUCAAGAGCAACGCAGUGAGGUCUAUGUGUGCUGCACUUUGCAUUCUUUUGAUAAUGUCUUCAGCCCUCUCAGAGCUGGUGGAAGUUGUGUAUCUAACUGCUUUUCUACUUCCCAUGGUUUCAUUAUAUUCGUGGGGUUUACUAGGUGCGAUGUGGAUUUCAUGCACAUGAUCACGCUGAGUGUGACCCUAUGGACUGAUGCACUGAUCCGAAAUGCGAGGAUGAAUGUCAGAACAAAAAUAUUGACCUACCUAUUGAACCUGAGUGCACCACACCUAAGGAGUGUUGCUGCACAUUUUAUCGGGAGGAAGAUAAUUCACUUCUUUGAAUAGAUUAAAAUGGUUGCCGAUGGCUAGAUUAAUUUCAUGGAUGCAGCCGAUACCAGAAUACUACGCUUGCAUGUAAUGCAUCCAUAAUAUGUUUCUACCCAAAUCUAAUAAAAUAAAUGUGUCCCAUUUGUCCUCUUUUCCUCUAGUGUUUUUUUACUCCCAAAUUCCAUGCUAAUAAAUGCUGUAUACAUGAUUUUAUUUUAAAAGCAUUUCUGAAUACAUUUAAUUUGAUAAGUUCAAACACCGAGUGAGUCUUCUAUCUAUUGUAGGCUUAUGUUUAGUGAAGUGUGCCGGGCCUACUACUUCGGUGUUGGGCUGAGCCCACAUGAGAGCAGCUCCAGCGUUGCUCUUUUGAGGGUGCUCCAAGGAGAGAGAAAAAUAUUCUCCGGCAGCUUCACGCUGGAUCAGAGGGUGCUAGGGAGGUGCUAGGGAGCAGCUGAUGAUGAGUUUUGCACCAGGCGCUACGCAUUCAAUAUAUUUUCUGAAGUAACGUGGUUGGAUGGAUAGUUGAGAUAGUGGGAAACAAAUGCAGAUGCGCUAAUGACCAUCAAUCCGAGGACUCCGCCACCCAUGCACUUAGGUAAAAAAAUUCCUCAACCACUUUCACCAAGCACUGAGAUGCCACUGCAACCGAAACAUAUGCCGUAGACUUUUGGAGCAUAGCCCAUGUACGAAGCUAGUGGAUAACUGUAAAGAUAACCUGCAUUGGAUGAGAUAAGGGUUUGUUUUCAAAUACCAUAGCAUUCUUGCAGAGCAACAAUAACAACAUAGUAGCAAUCACCCCAAGUAAAUAAUGCCCGUCAACCAAGUGCCAAAAAUAUUUUCUAGGCUAAGGGGCUUGAGAAAGACUUCAGGUGCAAACAUAUCCGUAUUAUCCUCACUGAAUGGUCAUAAGUGUUUCCCUUCGGUUGCCGACACAAGACAUCCGACGGGGAAGGGUGACUAACGCCACUACCUGGUAAACUAAGUAUGCUGGAACUUGUCCACUAAGGUUAUAGUCUAGCUAACUCAGCAUGGGUGCCCAUAUUUCUUAAUUAUGUUUCCGUUGGUUGAUAACAUACCCAUCGGCAUCCUAUCGUCAUGACUUAAUGAAUCCCAAUAUCUUCUAGACUAACGUUUACUUACAUGAGUAGGGUGUGUAUGCAUUUGUGGUUAACAGGUAUUUACUUUAAGGUCGGCUGGGCCGGCUUUCUCGAUGUGUCUAAUUAUGCUUAAGAAAAAGAACCACUAGUGGAAAACUCAGUUUUAGUCCCGGUUGCAGACACGCAUAGAUCUCAAAAAUCCAACCGGAACUAAUCAUUCAGACUGUAAUAAUAAAAUUUGUUUGAAAUCAAAUGCAUUGCAUUUAAAUUUUCAUGGGCAUUUAAACCUUUUUCAAAAUAAAUUAAUGAAUCAUAGGAGUUCGUUGUUGCAUUCACGAUGGUGCAUUAUUUUUGGUUGCUUGAAUUCAAAUUUGUGUUUGAAUUCAUUUGUUUGACUCUUUUAAACAAAUAGGAAACCCUUUUCUUUUCUUCCUUUCAGCCUAUUUCUUUCUUUGGGCCCACUUCCUUCUCUUUCGCCCAGCAGCAAAACUGAAUAUGCACUUUGAAGAUAAACAUGCGAACCAUCAAAGGGCAGCAGACAACUUAAAUACGCGACGGAGCAUUGUAAAUGGCAGAGUAGCCUUGCUGCCACGAUCCACUGAGAUCCAGCCCCACAUCGCACGAAUUCCUCCCUCCCCCCUCCACCCCCGACAACGGCUUCAGGCUCGGACCCGCUACGACGACCAAGGACAAAUGCGCUCAAGGCUUGGGAAGAAAUUAACUUCCAUUGUCGGAACACUUGUUAAGGAUUACAAGAGACCAUAUCGCAAGUUUAUCUUCUUAGGUAUGGUCCACAAUGGAAGAGAGACCUCCUAACUUGACCAAGCCGAUGUACACACUACCAUUUGGCACCAAUCAGGCCAAGUCAGAUAGGUGCCAGUGGAGUUCCAUAUUCCACUACGUCCGCCAUGUAACUCAUAAUCGACCACCAGGGAGGGACAUGUGUGGGAUGGAUCGAAGACAAGACAAUGGCCAACACACGCGUGGACAUACCGGCCACAGGGUACGAUUACGUGUUUGUUGGACCCAACACAUGAAAAUAGCUGCGUUGGCCAUGAAAAUGUUUCCUAUAGGUCACACCUAGUGGCAUCAAAACCAUUUAGUGCCACUAACUGGUUGUGAUGAUUGAUGUCACAAACGGUUCUUUGUGCGUAGCCAGUUUAUAGCUGUAAUUCCAUCGAACCUGUUCUAGUACCUUGAACAACUGGUUCUUGAUGAGUAGCCAGGAGUGACGUUCCAUUUGUAACUAUUUAUUCUCUAUUAGUCUAAUGUUGUCAUAAAUGAUUUGCGUUGUCAGUUUAUAUAUGCACUUUGGCAGCCUGGAUGUAUGUCUUUUGAAGUAUGUGUAACUUUCUCUAGAAUUGAGGAACUUUAAUUGACUAAGUGGUCUUGGAUUUACAGCAUCAACCACUAUAAUUAGCCAUUGCUCCAAUGGCCCAUUUUUUCCGUUAAUGCUAUAUGAUCCGACACCAAUAUGUGUACAGACAUAAGAGCAUCUGACGAGUAUCAUUUUACGGUGAAGACAUUGGAUCCCCACUCGCAGUAACACAUUGCAAAUGCGAAAAGCAGGACCGGGUCUCCCCCUGCAAUAAAUGCCAUUUUAACUGGUCCUAUAAACUGUUUUCUAGUGGUGUGAUGUAGUCUGUUGGAAUCAGCACCGUGGAACCAUCUGACAUUCAUACAUUAGCUUCACCAAACAAAUAUUCUUCUGUGCAUUAAAGCUUCAUACUUCAACAUGUACAAGUUCUCUAUGUAGGAUAUUUCAGCUAGAAGAUCUUCCCUUUCUUGAACUAGCCAUUUGAGCAUUAUUCAUUCUCAGGCCCAUGGUUCCAACGGCUUGCACGUUCUUGGAAUGUGUUAUCAUGGAAUGCUAGGGGUAUCGAUUCGUAGACAAGAUGGAAUGUCGUCAAGAGCAAAAUAUCUGAAUCCAACUGUGAUAUUGCCUGUUUACAAGACACCAAAAAGGAGUUUUUUGAUGCUAGAUAUAUUAGGAAUUUCUAUCCCCCACAGUUAGAUUCUUUCGAUUUCAUCCCAUCUAUUGGCAACUCAGGGGGAACUAUUAUAGUGUGGAAUGGUUCCAAAUUCAAGGGGGAACCUAUCUUUCAAAAUCUUUAUGCCCACUUUGUAGAUUUUCAGUGCAAGCUAUCAGGGGAACGUUGGAUCCUCACGAAUAUCUACGCCCCAUGUACUCCGGAGGGGAAGCUAUCCUUUAUUGACUGGUUCAAAAGGGUUGAAAUACCAGAGGAAAAAAAUUGGCUAAUAGUUGGGGACUUCAACCUUCUUAGGAAGCCGGAUGACAGAAACAAUCAGGGGGAAACAAUCCGGGAGGAAAUGUUCAGGAAAUGCUUCUCUUCAAUGAAGCUAUUAGCAGGCUUAGGCUCAUAGAAAUUCAGCUCAAAGGAUGCAAGUACACUUGGUCCAACAAACAGCAGAAUCCUCUUCUGGAGAGGCACGAUUGGUUCUUCAUAUCUAACCCUUGGACCAUCUCCUAUCCCAAUACUUAUGCCUCAUCACUGUCCAGUGACUCCUCAUAUCAUGUUCCUUGUGUAGUCUCGAUCUCUAAUACCAUUCCAAGGCCACAAGUUUUUAGAUUUGAGAAUUAUUGGCUAGAACAUGAUCGGUUCCCAACCAUUCUCCAACAAGGUUGGGCAACUCCACUUCUAGGCACAGAUAGGGCAAAGAAUAUCGGGGCCAAGUUCAAAAACCUGAGGAAGGUUUUCAGGAUCUAGAAAGCAUAGCUCCCCAGUCUGGCGAAAGCAAUCCAGAGCACCAAAGACACCAUUCAACUCCUUGACAUCAUUGAAGAACUUAGAGAUCUUACCCUGCAAGAACGGAACUUUAGAGAAGUCAUCACAUCACAUCUGAAUAGCUUGCUCCACCAACAAAAAGUCUAUUGGUAGCAAAGAAGCUCCAUCAAUUGGGUCAAAAUGGGGGAUGAAUGUACAAAAUUCUGCCAUGCAAGGGCCUCAGUCAGAAAUAGAAUCAAUUAUAUCACUUCUUUAGUUGAUGCCAAUGGACAAAUUGUCUCUAAACAUGAAGCUAAAGCCAGGAUUCUUUGGGAAGCUUAUAAGGAAAGGAUGGGGAGAUUUGAAUUUACUCACAUGUACUUUGAUCUUUCUACUAUCUUGACAUCAGAUCCAAAUUUGGAAUGGCUAGAAUCUCUCUUUAUGAAAGCAGAGAUCGACACAAUUACAGGGGAACUUCCAAGUAACAAGUCCCAAGGCCCAGAUGGCUUGAAUGGAGAGUUUCUCAAGAGAUGGUGGGACUUGAUAGCUGAAGAUUUUUAUAGACUGUCUGAAGGUUUUCAUGACAUAAGUGUGUGUGUUCAGAGCAUGAAUGCUUCAUACAUCACACGAAUCUCCCUCCUAAACUCAACCAUCAAGCUAAUAACUAAAAUUCUAGCAGAAAGGCUACAACAGGUAAUCUUAAGACUAGUGCAUAAAAAUCAGUAUGGUUUCAUAAAGUCUAGAUCCAUACAAGACUGUUUAGCAUGGGCUUUUGAAUAUCUUCACAUUUGUAAAGCCUCAAAGAGAGAAUUAAUCAUCAGCAAGCUGGACUUUGAAAAAAGCCUUUGAUAGGAUUGAGCACCAAGCCAUUUUGGAUAUCUUAAAACAUAAGUGCUUUGGGACAGAUGGAUUGGGUGGAUAAAGGACAUUCUCAACACUAGAACAUCUUCAAUACUCCUCAAUGGUGUGCCAGGGAAAGUCUUUCAUUGCAGAAGAGGUGUCAGACAGGGGGAUCCUCUAUCCGCACUUCUAUUUGUUCUAGCAGCGGACCUUUUUCAGUCAAUCCUAAAUAAAGCCAAAGAGGAAGGAAGCUUACACCUACCGAUCCCUGAAAGAGCUGGACCUGACUUCCCAGUUAUACAAUAUGCAGAUGACACCCUUCUGGUCAUGGAAGCAGAUCCUUCCCAGUUGUUGCAUCUCAAGCAUCUGCUUAAUCGGUUUGCGGAGUCAACUGGUCUUAAAGUAAACUACAACAAGACUGUUAUGGUACCUCUGAACACUUCUGAGGAUAAACUCCGACAACUUUCGUCAAUGUUCGAUUGCCAAGUCGGAAGCUUGCCACUCACCUACUUGGGGCUACCACUUGGUGCAACAAAGCCUAACAUUGAGGAAUUCCUUCCAUUAAUACAGAAGGUGGAGCGAAGAUUGGGAGGCAUCUCUAACAUGUUAUCUCAAGGGGGCAAACUCGAACAGGUAAAUUCAGUCUUUUCUUCCUCACCAAUGUUUCAUAUGGCAACCUUAAAGCUUCACAAGGGGGUUAUCACACAAUUAGAUAAUUUUGGCAGCUGUGUAUAUUUAGAUGCAUAUAAACAUUUAUAAACCUAAAACAUUAAAAUGACCUGCAAUUAAAAAUGGAGGGGUAAAAAAGAAGGCCCCGACAAACGUGUCAGCACAUUCCUGCCUUUCUCCCCCCAAUGAGUAAACUCCAAUCCAAAAUUUGACUGUAUUUUGUUAACGGUUAUAUUUCAUAAGUUUGAUAACAAUACCCAGCUAGGGCUAAUGAUGAUAUGAAAUUGGCCACAAUUUUUGUUCUUGGGAGGUAUCUGUGAGGUGAGAAAAUGGGCAACAUGUGUGGAAAAUGCUAAUACGCCUACCGUGUGGCAUAUUUUGCGUUGUACCACAUACUUACCAAUACUGAUACAAGAUAUGCUCAAUACCCCUCAAUCCAACUUACCAAUACUGAUACAAGAUAUGCUCAACUUGUGAACUUAACUGAGGUAUAUGCUUUCUAUGUUCGUCCGUUCCAGCAAUUGUCUAAGGCAACGCGAAAUCCAGUUACUGUGGGCUAAUAACAACCUAUCUGUUGGUGUUUCUUGGUGUCUAUGGGUGUGCUUCUGAUUUGCAUGCUUUUUUUGUUUGUUGUGUGAUGAAAUAAGGCACUAUGUACAUCUUUGCUUAUUAUUUCCCACUGAUAUAUGGGUACGGACGUGUAAUCAUUAAUUGUGAUAUUCAUUCAGCUGACGACAGUCAGUUGACAUCACUUGAAAGUAUGCUUGAAUUCGUAAGGUGUCCCGUGCAAGUAGCGUGGCUACAACCGCGGCAAUAUUUUUUUCUGAUCAAAAUCGAUCGUCCUUUUUUGUUGAAAAGAUAAGUAUGAUAUACUUCACGUGGUGUUAGACUUGCAAAUUUUUGAGUGCAAUAUAUGAGUAAGUAUUCAAUACUAACAUUUUUUCUCUAAACAUUAACUACCAACAUAGCUUAUCAGAUAAUGCAGCAUUGUUUAUCCGACAUGCAUAACCACCUAACACUCAGACACUGAGACACACCAUCCAUUACCGUCACUGAAUCUAUGUCAGCGCGCUGAGCCAGGGUUAGGAACCUCCACUAACUCGUUAGAGGCAAACCCAAGAUCUAGACUGCUUCUGCUUAAUUCCCUCACUAGCUUAAUCCACUAUGAAAUGUAAAUGCACAACACUCUUAGCAAUUCGCUCAUAAGAUUCUUGAAUUUGGCAAAUUUUUGGUGCAAUCUUCACUGCGAGAAAAACGACCUUUUGUCCAACAUAUUAGUACCGGCCACAUUUCAACCCGGUACUAAUACCAACAUUAGUAUGGGAUCCAAUUUAGUAGCCACCGGAGACCUUUUAGUACCAGGUCAUAACACCACCCAAUACUAAAAUGUUGAAGAUAGGUUGCCAACGAAAAGUUACUCUUACUGCUCUUUAGCUCUUGCUCUCUUGAAACUAUUAAUCUUCUAAUCUUUUGAACAACUAUCCUUCUAUUUGAAGCAAUCAUCGGCACAAACAUAUAAGCAAACAAAAAAAGUACAAUUAAGAACAAUACACCAAAACAAAAAAAAGCUUUAAAAGAGUAUAAAGGAUAUGGCUCAAUUCUAAGAUCGCGAGGAUGUAAGAAACACUUAAAACCAAACUAAGGUUGAAAAGACAAAGCUAUUGAGAGAUUUGAAUUAUAAAAGAAAAAGAAAAGCCUACAUGCUUCAUAUAUUUUAAUAAAGAAAACAAUGUAAAGAUAUUUUAGACAAACAUCCUUAUCAAGUUAUAUUUAUAUAUGAAAAGAUCAAUGUAGAACUUCGUCAAAUUUUUAUUUAUAAACAUUAAAGUACAAUUUAGGAAAAUUAAACAUUUAAUUUGAAAAUAAAGUAUAGGUAAACAUCUAAGCGCAUAACUUUAUGAUUCAGGUUGAACUAACCAAAUAUAAUUAAAAAAACACAUUUCUAUUUAUAUUUGUCAAAAUAAAAUUUAAUAAAUAAAACUUGAGAUAUAACCUAUGUAGCUUUUAUUUAUAAAACAAAAUCAAGACACAUUAAUCAAGUUGAGUUUAAUUGAUGAAAAGCUGAGGUAUAUCUCUAAUUAGCUUUUAGUUGGAAGAGUUGCUUAAAUAAGCAUUAACCAAAUUUACAUUAGUUAUCAAAAUACGAGGUUGAACUUUAAUUAGAUUUUAAUUAGAAAAGCAAGUAUAUAAAUACUUAAUCAUAUUAAUAUUUUAAAUAAAUUAUAAAAUAGGGAACAUGAUUAACAUUGCUUCUAACACAUUGUGUUAAGUUGAUAUGAAUCUAACGCAAUAAGAACGAGGUUAAACGGAGGUAAAACAUGGAAUCUAUGGAUUAAACAAGGUUCUAAGGAUCUAAAUAGAAUUAACUAUAGAUCUCAGGGGCUAGCAGAGAAGAUUCACAAGACAUGGAAAUGUGCUUCAAAAAGGCUGAAAGAUCAAGGUUAGAUUCAUAAAUGGAGCUUGGGUUGGACUAGGUUGUAGGAACCUCAUCUAACCAGGGGGUUCUAUGUAAGAGCCGCAAGACUCAAGGAACAAGCUAAACCAUUAAGUGGACCUUCGAGGGUCUAGAUGCAAAAAGCUCAGAGCUUUCUUCCUCAUGGCCGACGGUAGCUUGUACAGCCAAAUCACUGGCGCUACGGGCGGCUGGGGUCUCCGGCGGACGGCACAGGAGCUGGAGGAGGUCCAGGGGAUCUAGUGGAGGCUCUUACCGGUGGCGGAGGUGAAGGGGGCCGGCCGAAAUUCGGAGGCGACAAUGACCGCAGCGGUGGCUCGGGCUCCGCGUGGUGGCAACGCUCCGGUGAUGGAGGGGCGUCGAGGGCUGGCGUCAGUUCUUCGUCUUGGCGCAGGGACACUCCAGGUGGCAUCAGCAUGCUCCAGUUCGAACGUUAACCGCGACAAAACAGGCGGCCAACUCCUACGGCACUUCGGCUCUGGCGAUCGACGGCGCACGGCGCUGCGUGAGCAGGCAAGGUGAGGCGCAGGGCGAGGGAGGAAGAAGGGACGACGCGGAGCCUCAAGCUUGCUAUUUAUAGGGGCGUGGGAGGUGUGCCUUGGAGUGGCGCGCACGAUGAGGAAACGACGGCAGUGGCGCAGUCCGCUUGGUGGCUGGGCUUAGAAGGGCCAAGCUGGGCCAACUAGCGGCGGACAGGUCUCAGCGGGCUGACGCGAGUCAAGCCCACAGCCUCGGCCCAAACUGAUAGGAUAGGUUUUUUUAUUAUUUUUAGAAAAUAAUUUCCUGUGGAAGGAAAAUCCAGAUAAAUCAAGAUAAUUCAAUAAAACCUACAAAAAAUACUCUAAAAAUGCCCAAAAAUUUCAGAAAAAAUCCUAGUGGUAGAUUGGGACACGAGGAAUCCAAAUAAAAUACUUGGAGCCCAUGAAAAAGGAAUUAGAGCCUUCUACUAAAUAGAUUUAUUUCUAGGAAAAUGAGAAUAAAUACCAGAAAGAUCUAGAAAAUUCUGAGGAGAAUUUGGUCGUCGUCUAAAUGCAUUUUUGAAACUUUUUCACUCAUAAAAUACUAUAAUGCAUCGGCAGGAAUGCAAAACACGUAGAAACAUUUUAUUUCUUUCAAAAUCAAUCAAUUGUUUUCCUAUACUACAUUUCCUGUCAAAAAAAUAAAUGUUGAAAUUUUUUUAAAAUUAUGAGAAAAUCAUUGUUUAAUUAUUAUUUUUAUUUAAUCACAUCCUAAAAUCUAAAAAUUUCAGGGUGUGAAUAAUCCACCCCUAUAAAUCCAUUUUUAGAGGUGGAUGAAUUGCUACAGUAACACCUAUUUUUUGGUUGGGGGGAUUUCUCAUCCAGCCAAAAAAAAUCAAGUGACACCUAAAAAUCAUUUUUUAGUAGUGAUCGUACACGCGCUUCACUGCCAUGAACGCCGCCAUGCAUACCGAUCAACCAGCCGUCGGCGCCAUAGAUGGUGGCAUUCCGGUUCUUUCCCCAGUGUGGCAGGCCGCCGUACUUGCCCAUUGCCAUCUGCAUCUUGAUCUCGUCCACGACGUCCAAGUUUUGCACUGCACUAUGGACAAAAUAGUGCCCAUUAGGUUUUCCAUGUGAAUUGGCCCAAGGUACAUUCAACUUAUUUUGGCUGGCUUGGUCCCAUAGUUUGAACCCAGAUUUUGGAUCUUUCCGCAUUUAAAUUGGUGCUGCUGCUGCAUUUAUUUGAUAAUGGUUCAAGAUAUGGAACCAUACCACAAAGGUAACUCAUCAUUAAUUUAGAAGGGUGCACAGAUUCAUGUAAUAAAUAAUCUACACCACCUAAGAUGUGUCUCUACCUCUAUAUAAACAAGAGCAAUCAAAGCAAUAUGUGCAUACUGGAACAAAAUAUCUACAGGCAUACCAAUAGUGUUCCUUUUCAUACGGCAGUGAUCAAGAGCAACGCAGUGAGGUCUAUGUGUGCUGCACUUUGCAUUCUUUUGAUAAUGUCUUCAGCCCUCUCAGAGCUGGUGGAAGUUGUGUAUCUAACUGCUUUUCUACUUCCCAUGGUUUCAUUAUAUUCGUGGGGUUUACUAGGUGCGAUGUGGAUUUCAUGCACAUGAUCACGCUGAGUGUGACCCUAUGGACUGAUGCACUGAUCCGAAAUGCGAGGAUGAAUGUCAGAACAAAAAUAUUGACCUACCUAUUGAACCUGAGUGCACCACACCUAAGGAGUGUUGCUGCACAUUUUAUCGGGAGGAAGAUAAUUCACUUCUUUGAAUAGAUUAAAAUGGUUGCCGAUGGCUAGAUUAAUUUCAUGGAUGCAGCCGAUACCAGAAUACUACGCUUGCAUGUAAUGCAUCCAUAAUAUGUUUCUACCCAAAUCUAAUAAAAUAAAUGUGUCCCAUUUGUCCUCUUUUCCUCUAGUGUUUUUUUACUCCCAAAUUCCAUGCUAAUAAAUGCUGUAUACAUGAUUUUAUUUUAAAAGCAUUUCUGAAUACAUUUAAUUUGAUAAGUUCAAACACCGAGUGAGUCUUCUAUCUAUUGUAGGCUUAUGUUUAGUGAAGUGUGCCGGGCCUACUACUUCGGUGUUGGGCUGAGCCCACAUGAGAGCAGCUCCAGCGUUGCUCUUUUGAGGGUGCUCCAAGGAGAGAGAAAAAUAUUCUCCGGCAGCUUCACGCUGGAUCAGAGGGUGCUAGGGAGGUGCUAGGGAGCAGCUGAUGAUGAGUUUUGCACCAGGCGCUACGCAUUCAAUAUAUUUUCUGAAGUAACGUGGUUGGAUGGAUAGUUGAGAUAGUGGGAAACAAAUGCAGAUGCGCUAAUGACCAUCAAUCCGAGGACUCCGCCACCCAUGCACUUAGGUAAAAAAAUUCCUCAACCACUUUCACCAAGCACUGAGAUGCCACUGCAACCGAAACAUAUGCCGUAGACUUUUGGAGCAUAGCCCAUGUACGAAGCUAGUGGAUAACUGUAAAGAUAACCUGCAUUGGAUGAGAUAAGGGUUUGUUUUCAAAUACCAUAGCAUUCUUGCAGAGCAACAAUAACAACAUAGUAGCAAUCACCCCAAGUAAAUAAUGCCCGUCAACCAAGUGCCAAAAAUAUUUUCUAGGCUAAGGGGCUUGAGAAAGACUUCAGGUGCAAACAUAUCCGUAUUAUCCUCACUGAAUGGUCAUAAGUGUUUCCCUUCGGUUGCCGACACAAGACAUCCGACGGGGAAGGGUGACUAACGCCACUACCUGGUAAACUAAGUAUGCUGGAACUUGUCCACUAAGGUUAUAGUCUAGCUAACUCAGCAUGGGUGCCCAUAUUUCUUAAUUAUGUUUCCGUUGGUUGAUAACAUACCCAUCGGCAUCCUAUCGUCAUGACUUAAUGAAUCCCAAUAUCUUCUAGACUAACGUUUACUUACAUGAGUAGGGUGUGUAUGCAUUUGUGGUUAACAGGUAUUUACUUUAAGGUCGGCUGGGCCGGCUUUCUCGAUGUGUCUAAUUAUGCUUAAGAAAAAGAACCACUAGUGGAAAACUCAGUUUUAGUCCCGGUUGCAGACACGCAUAGAUCUCAAAAAUCCAACCGGAACUAAUCAUUCAGACUGUAAUAAUAAAAUUUGUUUGAAAUCAAAUGCAUUGCAUUUAAAUUUUCAUGGGCAUUUAAACCUUUUUCAAAAUAAAUUAAUGAAUCAUAGGAGUUCGUUGUUGCAUUCACGAUGGUGCAUUAUUUUUGGUUGCUUGAAUUCAAAUUUGUGUUUGAAUUCAUUUGUUUGACUCUUUUAAACAAAUAGGAAACCCUUUUCUUUUCUUCCUUUCAGCCUAUUUCUUUCUUUGGGCCCACUUCCUUCUCUUUCGCCCAGCAGCAAAACUGAAUAUGCACUUUGAAGAUAAACAUGCGAACCAUCAAAGGGCAGCAGACAACUUAAAUACGCGACGGAGCAUUGUAAAUGGCAGAGUAGCCUUGCUGCCACGAUCCACUGAGAUCCAGCCCCACAUCGCACGAAUUCCUCCCUCCCCCCUCCACCCCCGACAACGGCUUCAGGCUCGGACCCGCUACGACGACCAAGGACAAAUGCGCUCAAGGCUUGGGAAGAAAUUAACUUCCAUUGUCGGAACACUUGUUAAGGAUUACAAGAGACCAUAUCGCAAGUUUAUCUUCUUAGGUAUGGUCCACAAUGGAAGAGAGACCUCCUAACUUGACCAAGCCGAUGUACACACUACCAUUUGGCACCAAUCAGGCCAAGUCAGAUAGGUGCCAGUGGAGUUCCAUAUUCCACUACGUCCGCCAUGUAACUCAUAAUCGACCACCAGGGAGGGACAUGUGUGGGAUGGAUCGAAGACAAGACAAUGGCCAACACACGCGUGGACAUACCGGCCACAGGGUACGAUUACGUGUUUGUUGGACCCAACACAUGAAAAUAGCUGCGUUGGCCAUGAAAAUGUUUCCUAUAGGUCACACCUAGUGGCAUCAAAACCAUUUAGUGCCACUAACUGGUUGUGAUGAUUGAUGUCACAAACGGUUCUUUGUGCGUAGCCAGUUUAUAGCUGUAAUUCCAUCGAACCUGUUCUAGUACCUUGAACAACUGGUUCUUGAUGAGUAGCCAGGAGUGACGUUCCAUUUGUAACUAUUUAUUCUCUAUUAGUCUAAUGUUGUCAUAAAUGAUUUGCGUUGUCAGUUUAUAUAUGCACUUUGGCAGCCUGGAUGUAUGUCUUUUGAAGUAUGUGUAACUUUCUCUAGAAUUGAGGAACUUUAAUUGACUAAGUGGUCUUGGAUUUACAGCAUCAACCACUAUAAUUAGCCAUUGCUCCAAUGGCCCAUUUUUUCCGUUAAUGCUAUAUGAUCCGACACCAAUAUGUGUACAGACAUAAGAGCAUCUGACGAGUAUCAUUUUACGGUGAAGACAUUGGAUCCCCACUCGCAGUAACACAUUGCAAAUGCGAAAAGCAGGACCGGGUCUCCCCCUGCAAUAAAUGCCAUUUUAACUGGUCCUAUAAACUGUUUUCUAGUGGUGUGAUGUAGUCUGUUGGAAUCAGCACCGUGGAACCAUCUGACAUUCAUACAUUAGCUUCACCAAACAAAUAUUCUUCUGUGCAUUAAAGCUUCAUACUUCAACAUGUACAAGUUCUCUAUGUAGGAUAUUUCAGCUAGAAGAUCUUCCCUUUCUUGAACUAGCCAUUUGAGCAUUAUUCAUUCUCAGGCCCAUGGUUCCAACGGCUUGCACGUUCUUGGAAUGUGUUAUCAUGGAAUGCUAGGGGUAUCGAUUCGUAGACAAGAUGGAAUGUCGUCAAGAGCAAAAUAUCUGAAUCCAACUGUGAUAUUGCCUGUUUACAAGACACCAAAAAGAAGUUUUUUGAUGCUAGAUAUAUUAGGAAUUUCUAUCCCCCACAGUUAGAUUCUUUCGAUUUCAUCCCAUCUAUUGGCAACUCAGGGGGAACUAUUAUAGUGUGGAAUGGUUCCAAAUUCAAGGGGGAACCUAUCUUUCAAAAUCUUUAUGCCCACUUUGUAGAUUUUCAGUGCAAGCUAUCAGGGGAACGUUGGAUCCUCACGAAUAUCUACGCCCCAUGUACUCCGGAGGGGAAGCUAUCCUUUAUUGACUGGUUCAAAAGGGUUGAAAUACCAGAGGAAAAAAAUUGGCUAAUAGUUGGGGACUUCAACCUUCUUAGGAAGCCGGAUGACAGAAACAAUCAGGGGGAAACAAUCCGGGAGGAAAUGUUCAGGAAAUGCUUCUCUUCAAUGAAGCUAUUAGCAGGCUUAGGCUCAUAGAAAUUCAGCUCAAAGGAUGCAAGUACACUUGGUCCAACAAACAGCAGAAUCCUCUUCUGGAGAGGCACGAUUGGUUCUUCAUAUCUAACCCUUGGACCAUCUCCUAUCCCAAUACUUAUGCCUCAUCACUGUCCAGUGACUCCUCAUAUCAUGUUCCUUGUGUAGUCUCGAUCUCUAAUACCAUUCCAAGGCCACAAGUUUUUAGAUUUGAGAAUUAUUGGCUAGAACAUGAUCGGUUCCCAACCAUUCUCCAACAAGGUUGGGCAACUCCACUUCUAGGCACAGAUAGGGCAAAGAAUAUCGGGGCCAAGUUCAAAAACCUGAGGAAGGUUUUCAGGAUCUAGAAAGCAUAGCUCCCCAGUCUGGCGAAAGCAAUCCAGAGCACCAAAGACACCAUUCAACUCCUUGACAUCAUUGAAGAACUUAGAGAUCUUACCCUGCAAGAACGGAACUUUAGAGAAGUCAUCACAUCACAUCUGAAUAGCUUGCUCCACCAACAAAAAGUCUAUUGGUAGCAAAGAAGCUCCAUCAAUUGGGUCAAAAUGGGGGAUGAAUGUACAAAAUUCUGCCAUGCAAGGGCCUCAGUCAGAAAUAGAAUCAAUUAUAUCACUUCUUUAGUUGAUGCCAAUGGACAAAUUGUCUCUAAACAUGAAGCUAAAGCCAGGAUUCUUUGGGAAGCUUAUAAGGAAAGGAUGGGGAGAUUUGAAUUUACUCACAUGUACUUUGAUCUUUCUACUAUCUUGACAUCAGAUCCAAAUUUGGAAUGGCUAGAAUCUCUCUUUAUGAAAGCAGAGAUCGACACAAUUACAGGGGAACUUCCAAGUAACAAGUCCCAAGGCCCAGAUGGCUUGAAUGGAGAGUUUCUCAAGAGAUGGUGGGACUUGAUAGCUGAAGAUUUUUAUAGACUGUCUGAAGGUUUUCAUGACAUAAGUGUGUGUGUUCAGAGCAUGAAUGCUUCAUACAUCACACGAAUCUCCCUCCUAAACUCAACCAUCAAGCUAAUAACUAAAAUUCUAGCAGAAAGGCUACAACAGGUAAUCUUAAGACUAGUGCAUAAAAAUCAGUAUGGUUUCAUAAAGUCUAGAUCCAUACAAGACUGUUUAGCAUGGGCUUUUGAAUAUCUUCACAUUUGUAAAGCCUCAAAGAGAGAAUUAAUCAUCAGCAAGCUGGACUUUGAAAAAAGCCUUUGAUAGGAUUGAGCACCAAGCCAUUUUGGAUAUCUUAAAACAUAAGUGCUUUGGGACAGAUGGAUUGGGUGGAUAAAGGACAUUCUCAACACUAGAACAUCUUCAAUACUCCUCAAUGGUGUGCCAGGGAAAGUCUUUCAUUGCAGAAGAGGUGUCAGACAGGGGGAUCCUCUAUCCGCACUUCUAUUUGUUCUAGCAGCGGACCUUUUUCAGUCAAUCCUAAAUAAAGCCAAAGAGGAAGGAAGCUUACACCUACCGAUCCCUGAAAGAGCUGGACCUGACUUCCCAGUUAUACAAUAUGCAGAUGACACCCUUCUGGUCAUGGAAGCAGAUCCUUCCCAGUUGUUGCAUCUCAAGCAUCUGCUUAAUCGGUUUGCGGAGUCAACUGGUCUUAAAGUAAACUACAACAAGACUGUUAUGGUACCUCUGAACACUUCUGAGGAUAAACUCCGACAACUUUCGUCAAUGUUCGAUUGCCAAGUCGGAAGCUUGCCACUCACCUACUUGGGGCUACCACUUGGUGCAACAAAGCCUAACAUUGAGGAAUUCCUUCCAUUAAUACAGAAGGUGGAGCGAAGAUUGGGAGGCAUCUCUAACAUGUUAUCUCAAGGGGGCAAACUCGAACAGGUAAAUUCAGUCUUUUCUUCCUCACCAAUGUUUCAUAUGGCAACCUUAAAGCUUCACAAGGGGGUUAUCACACAAUUAGAUAAAUAUAGGAAACACUAUCUCUGCAGAGGAUCUAAUUUGAAUUCUAGGAAACCCUCCAAGGCAGCUUGGCCUAUGGUGUGCCUACCAAAACAGCAAGGAGGACUUGGGGUUAUUAACCUGAACAGUCAAAAUGAUGCCCUUCUUCUCAAGUUCCUACACAAGUUCUUCACCAGAGCUGAUACUCCCUGGGUUCAUUUAUUCUAGGAUAACUAUUAUUCUAAUGGGAAACUGCCUGGACAGCACAAAAAGGGCUCAUUCUGGUGGAGAGAUGUAGUCAAGCUACUGGACAAAUACAAAGGAAUAGUGUCGGCAUGGGUAUCGGAUGGCUCUACUGUAUUGUUCUGCAUGGACACAUGGAUUGAGCAGGUCCUCUACCUGGAAUUCCCCCAGUUAUUCUCUUAUGCCAAAAACAAACUGGUAUCAUAUAAGGAGGCUACAAGCAGAAUAUCACUGUCUCAAAAUUUUCACCCACCACUCUCAGAAGAAGCUCAUCAGCAGUUGCUGAUUCUGCAGAAUAGAUUGAGGAAUACUGUGAGAGCUCAAGGCAGAGAUAAGUGGACUUACAUUUGGGGAAGGCCCCCGCUUUUCGGUAGCAAAAACUUAUAAAGUCAUAACGGGCACAAGAACCAUACAUCCAAUUCAUAGAUGGAUAUGGAAAUCUAAAUGCCAAAAGAAGCACAAGAUAUUUUUCUAGCUAUUAAUUAAAUUCAGACUGAGCACCAAAGACAUUCUAAGCAGAAAAACAAUGUAUUUGGAUACUUAUACUUGUGUGCUUUGCAUCCUCCAGGAAAAGGAGACAAUGCCGCACUUAUUCCUGAGAUGCAACUUCUCGAAAGCUUGUUGGAGCACUUCCUCCAGGCCACCCUUUCGGAUUUUUAACUCAAUCAAGGAUAAACUGAACGUUCCCUUCUACAUGGAGAUCAUCAUUUUAAUGGCCCGGAGCAUUUGGUCCGUGAGGAAUGACUGGACCUUUCAACAAUGUCCCCCCUCGGUACAGAGCUGCAAAAGGAAAUUCAUGGAAAAAAUGAAUACCGUCUGUCUACAUAGAGCGAAAUCUUCCCUAGCUCCUACCAUGAUGGAAUGGUUGUAAUCUUUUCUUUCUUUUUUCUUCCUUUGUUGUUGCCUUUUCUACCUUCUACUUCUGUUGUUUCUUGGACUCGCCUUUCAUUUAAUAUAUUUCAGUAGGAGCUUGCCCCUCCUGUUCCUUCAAAAAAAAACUUCGAGCACUUCUCCAUGGGCUUCAUCACCAUAGUUUCGAUUUGGGCAAUUUCAUUGCACCGAACCUUCCAGCUUGCAUUUUCUUAACUGAAUCUCGAGCAUGGGGCAAUAUUCUGGCAUCUACAACGGACCUGCCAUCAAGCAUUCCAAUGUAUAGAUCUAUCCUUUUUGUUUGCCUAAUAUUCGGAUGCAAUACUCCGCCGUGUGUAAAAAAAUCCAAGGCCAACGGACCAUACCGUGUUAACAAUUUUAGUGCCUAAUCCAAUACAAAAUUAGUCCCAGUUUGUACGGCUACUCAUUCAUUGCAGUCUUCAGACGAACUCUACGGUGACACAUUUUUGGAAUACUCUGGCAUGUGCAACUGACCUGCCAUCAAGCACUCCGAUGCAUGGUUCUAUCCUCUUUGGUUGCCUUAUAUUCUGUAAAAAAAAAUAUUCAAGGCCAACAGACCAUACCGUGUUAAAAAUUUUAGUGCCCAAUCCAAUACAAAAUCAGUUCCAGCACCUCCACAGUGAUUAUAUUGUAAUUCAAUCACCAAAAUCCGAAACUAUGGUCUAGUGAAGCUAUACUGUGUACGAAAUAUCAAUUCAUGGGAUUUGUCAACGAUUUUAUGAAGCUGUAUAUAUGAUACCUUCCACUACGGGAUUUGUGUACAAAAUAUUAAUUCAUGAGAUUUGUCCAUGAUUUUAGGAAGCUACAAUAUCUUCAACUACCGGAUUGCGUAUAUAAGAUAAUCUUCACCAGUUAUCACAGGUGGAAGCACGCGUUAAAUAAUAAAUGACUAAUGCUGAUUCAACUCUGAGAUGAAAAGGAUUCUGUUCUCAAGAAUCGAAAAAAAGGUAACGUGCUCAUAACAAUGUCGACUCUUCACAUCUGAGAACUACCUACCGUAUGUUAUUAAAACAUUUUUGCUGCCUAUAAAUUGGGCAUCAUUUCAGCAGGCCACCACGGCACCUGAGCUUGCCAUCUUUUCCUGCUCUAUCUCACUCAUUUGUCCCGUAGCUACUAGCUAAGCCACCAUAUCAUCCAUGGCUUCUGGUGCCUCCACCACGCUGAAGAUGGCCUCUAUCGCCGCUUGCAUCCUGCUGGUCCUGCUGUCCAAUGGCCACCCCACCGCGGCGGCCGUUGAUUGUAUUGCGGCUUGCAAAGAACCGUGCCAGGGUUUUUCUAACGGGCUCUGCGCGGGUGGAGCCACCAGCGGUUGUACGACUACGGCAGCAGCUACAGCAUGCCGCAAUUUGGCGUUCUCGCAGUGUGCGAACACCUGCUUCACAGUUUGCACUGCUGUGAGCAUCGCGCCUUGCACUUGAAGAUGCAUUCGUGUUCCUACUUCCACAUUAUUGUUACUGCAGAAUAAUAUGGGUCAGUGCACACAAGCAUACAUGAUGAGCCACUGUCGUUUUUCCAUUUUGUCAUUUACUUAUUGAAGGCAAUGUACGUUUUUCCAUUUGAUCAUUUACUUAUUGAAGGCAAUGUACGUGUCUAUCUCCUGUGUGGUUGAGCAUGUCAUCUUGGAAUUCUAUCCAAAGUUUUACAUACCACCUUGUAUUGUUGUGUGUGGGUAUCAAUAUAAUUUAUGAACUAUCUUCCUUUACCAUAGACAUAUCUAUGUUUAUUUGCAAGCGUUAGCUAAAUUUUUCCUUGAUUGUGUAUUAAUCCCAACUGAACAGAUCAACUUUCCACUGCAAGAAACUAUUUAAUCUGUGACGAAACAAAAUUGUCACAUAUCACUAAAAAAUCGUCAUAAAGCAAUGCCCGUGACGAUUUUAGAUAACGUCAUGUAUUGAGCGUCACAGAUUAAAUCGAUCGACGUUUUCUUCGAAAUCGUCACAGAUCAACACAAUCUAUGAUGUUUUUUACCUGUCACAAA
RNAcentral lists this long non-coding RNA (45921 nucleotides) under Setaria viridis. RNAcentral describes it as "long non-coding RNA (SVIR_LNC008614)". The record is from RNAcentral. Lineage: Eukaryota; Viridiplantae; Streptophyta; Magnoliopsida; Poales; Poaceae.